RNAcentral lists this long non-coding RNA (46425 nucleotides) under Citrus sinensis (sweet orange). RNAcentral describes it as "long non-coding RNA (CSIN_LNC004936)". Lineage: Eukaryota; Viridiplantae; Streptophyta; Magnoliopsida; Sapindales; Rutaceae. The record is from RNAcentral.
AAAUAUUUUCUUCUGUGUUCAACAACCCAGGUGAUGUCUUCUAAACUUUAACUUUACUUAUUUCCUUUAAAACAUUGAGGAUAAUGUUUCGUUCUGGUUGGGGGGAGGGAAUAGUUGACAAUUGUGGAAUCUUGGUUAAGUUUUUACUGAUUUUUGGUUGUAGAGACUAACCGUGGCUAACUUUUUGUAUUGAAGAUGGUUGAAUAUGGAGUGUAGUGACUCUAGAAAUGCAUCUUCUUGGUUUGAAAGUAAAAAAAAAACAAAAGAAAAAUUCUAGACAUUUUCUUUUUCUUUAUUAAGCUUUGACAAUCAUUUUUUUUAACUUCUUCUUUCUAAUUUCUCCUUUAUAAAUAUACACUUUUAAAUUUUUGAGUCGAAGAUGGCUGAUUAUCUAUUGAUGAUUUAAUUGGCUCACUUAUUUUCUAUGAAUAUGAUUUAACAGUUGAAAAAGUGCAUAGAGAAAAAAACAAGAGCAUUGCUCUUCAAGCUUCAAGAUUGGAAAGCGAUGAAAAAAGUGAAUCCGAAGUAUGAAAAUCUGAGUAUGAGAGCCAGAAAAUUCAGGAAGUUUUUCAAGAAAUCUAAUAAGUAAAGAAAGCUCUGGAACUUUAAAAACCAAAAGAAAAAGAAUGAAGCAAUCAUAUGCUUUGAAUGUAAGAAGCUUGGGCACAUAAAAUCAUAAUUUCUUCUCCUCAACAAGGCAAAAAAGAAAGCUAUGGUGGCAACAUAGAAUGACAGCGAUGAGGAGGCCUCAGAUGAGGAAGAAUCAUAUGAAGUGUUAAACCUGACACUUAUGGCAAUAGGAGAGGAACUUGAUGAGGUAAAUUAUCUUCCUUUUUAUGAUGUGUUGUUUGAAGCAUUUACUAAAUUGCACAAUGACUUUAAAAAGAUAAAAAUGAAAAAUGCUUGUUUUAAAAAGAAAAUGUAGAACUUUCAAAUAAAAAUGAGUAUUUGAAUGAAAAGAUCAAGUGCCUAGAAGUAGAAAACAAAAGUUUCCAUGAAGAAUUACAUUCUUUAAAGAAAAGCAAGACGUUUCAUUUAGGAAUGAAGGUUUACUUAUAGAUGAUUUGAAAAAAAAAUGAAAUGCUCAAGAAAAAGAGUGAUAAGCUUAAUGAUAUUAUCUUAAAAUUUACAAGUGGGCAAAAGAUUUAGAUAAUUUGCUUGGCUUUCAAAAAUGUGUUUUUGAUAAAGGAACUAUUAGCUAUAAGUCAAAUUUGAAAUAAAAGUAUUGUUAGAAUUACUUUGUUAAGGCUACCUCCAUUAAUGACCAAAUUAUAUGCCAUUAUUGCAAUAGAAACAGUCAUAUGAGUUAUAGAUGUCUAGUUAAGAGAAAUAUAUAUUAUGGAAUCAAAUGUAUUUGGGUACCAAAAUGAGCCAAUUGCUAACACUCAAGGACCUAAAAAGUUUUGGGUACCUAAAACUUGAGAUUUAUUCUGCAGUGAUCAAAGAAGAGGAAGAACAAAUGGUAUUUGGACAACGAAUGCUCGAGUCAUAUGACAGGCAAUUACUUUUGGUUUUUGAGUUUUACCAAUAUAAAAAAUAGUGGAGAACUAUCCUUUGGAUAUAAUUCAAAAAGAAAGAUUAUUGGUAUUGGUAAUGUCGGUAAAGAUUCUUCUAUCUUUAUUAAAAAUAUGUGUUUAGUUGAAAAUUUGAAAUACAACUUGCUUAGUAUUAGUUAGUUGUGCGAUAAUGGCUAUAUAGUUAUUUUUUAUAAAACAAAAUAUGUCAUUGAGAAUGCAUGUGAUCGCAAAGUUUUGUUUGUUGCAAAAAGAUGCAUUAAUGUAUAUACCAUUGAUAUAGAUUGCACAUGUCACAUGAUAAAUGAUUUUCGGCAUUACAUAAUGAUAGUUGGUUGGAUUUGAUUUCAACGAUUUCUAAAAGUGAUUUGGUUAAAGGACUUCCAAAGAUUGGUUUUUAAAAGGAUAGGGUUUGUGAAGGUUGUCAAUUUGGAAAGCAAAUCAAAACUUCUUUCAAAAACAAAAAUCAUGUCUCUACUUCAAAACCGCUUCAACUAUUUCACAUGAAUUUGUUUGGACCUUCUAGGUAUGCAAGUCUGAGUGGUAAAUAUUAUGCAUUUGUAAUUGUUGAUGAUUUCUCUGGAUACACUUGUAUAUUGUUCUUAAGAAAUAAGGAUGACACAUUUGAUGCUUUUAAAAUUUUUUGUAAAAAGGUUAAAAAUGAAAAAAAGAGUAUGUUAUUUAUUACAUUUAAAGUGAUCAUGGUAAGGAAUUUGAAAAUCAUGAUUUUGAAAAUUUUUACAAUAACUUUGGCAUUGAGCAUCAAUUCUCAUCACCAAAGACUCCACAACAAAAUGGAAUAGUUGAGAGAAAGAAUAAGUUUAUUCGAGAAAUAGUUACGACCGUGUUAAAUGAAAAUGUUUUACUAAAAUAUUUUUGGGCAAAAGUCGUCAACACCACUUGUUAUGUUUUGAAUCAUGUGUUGAUUAAAGCUUACAUUAAUAAAACUCCUUACGAGUUUUGGAAAGAUAGAAAACCCAACAUUGGUUAUUUCAAAGUUUUUGGAUGCAAAUGUUUUAUAUUGAAUACAAAAGAUAAUCUUGGUAAGUUUGGUCUAAAAUAUGAUAUUGGCAUUUUUUUUGGGUAUUCAAAUACAAGCAAAAUUAUAAAGUAUUACAAUAAAAGAACCUUGGUUGUAUAGAAGUCUAUGCAUGUCACAUUUGAUGAAUCUAACUCUUCCUCUACGGAGAAAGUUCCAGUUGAUGAUGAUGCAGAUGAAAAAUUACGAAAAAAAAUUGAUUCUUUAAAAGAAAAGCAAGAUAAUUCAGAAGAAGAAAAUCAAGAGGAGCAACAAGAAGAACAAGCUAAGCAAGAUAAGGAAAUCGGGUUGAGUUCGGGUAGGAUCGGAUUUGCUGCUGUACCGUACAUCCGCCUUGGCCGUACAGCAGUUAGAAAUAAAAUUGAUGAAUUUAAUGUAGUUGUAAGAAACAAAACUAGACUAGUAGCUCAAAGAUACAACCAGGAAGAAGGAAUUGAUUUUGAUGAAAUCUUUAUAGCUAGAUUAGAAUCCAUUAGGAUGCUUUUAGUAUUUGCAUGUCAUAAAGAUUUUAUUUUAUAUCAAAUGGAUGUUAAAAGUGCUUUCUUGAAUGGUUAUAUUAUAGAAUAACUUUAUGUAACACAACCCACUGGUUUUAAAAAUGAAACAUUUCCAAAUCAUGUCUAUAAGUUGUCUAAAGCUUUAUAUGGUAUGAAAGGUUUAGUAGAUUUCUUUUGGAAAAUGAUUUUUCAAUAGGAAAUGCGAAUACUACACUUUUUAUUAAGUAUAAAAAUGAAGAUAUAUUCAUUGUUCAAAUUUAUGUUGAUUAUAUUAUCUUUGGUUCUAAUAAUGGUCUUUGUGUAGAGAAUUUUCAUCUUAUAUGAGUAAAGAAUUUUAGAUGAGCAUGAUGGGAGAGUUGAAGUAUUUCUUUAAACUACAAAUAAAACAAAACAAAGAAGGAUUGUUAUCAAUCAAGCCAAAUAUUUGAGAGAUUUACUCAAAAAAUUCAGAUUUGAAAAGAGAAAGGCUAAAAACACACCAAUGAGCUCAAGAAUCAAACUUGACAAGGAUUAAAAAGGUAAAAAAGUUGAUGUCAAAACUUAUUGAGGUAUGAUUAGAUCUUUACUUUACUUGACUGCUUGUAGGCCUAAUCAAUGUAUGUUUAUGUGCAAGAUUUCAAAAAUUCCCAAGGAAUCUCAUUUGUUUGUUGUUAGAAAAAUUUUUCAUUAUUUGAGUGGGACAAUUGAUCUAAAUAUUUGGUAUCCAAGAAGGACUCACAUAGAUUUAACAUGAUAUUUGAAUGCCGACUACGCCGGAUACAAAGUCGAUAAGAAUAGUACUAGUGAAACUUGUCAAUUUUUAAGUCACUCACUUAUCUUUUGGUUCAAUAAAAAACAAAAUUCAGUUGCUCUUUCAACUAUUAAGGCUGAAUAUACUGCUACCGGUAGCUAUUGUGCACAAGCUAUAUAGAUGAAACAAACUCUUAGAGACUACGGAAUUAAAUUUGAUCAUAUACCUAUCAUGUGUGAUAAUACUAGUACUAUAAUAUAUCAAAGAAUCUCAUUCAACAUUAUAGGACCAAGCAUAUAGAUAUUAGACAUCAUUUCUUGAGAGAUCAUGUUCAAAAAGGGGACGUAGAAUUAGAAUUCGUUUCAAUUGAAAAAUAACUUGCAGAUAUCUUCACAAAGCCCCUUAGUGAGGGUCAUUUUAUCAAAAUUCAACAUGAACUUGGGAUGAUCAAAUUUUCACAUUAACAUGUCUAUAUAUUAUAUUGAGGUUAUCUGCUGGGUUUGAAUGUGUCGGUUGAUUUAAUUGAUUUUGAAAUUUUUAUGCAUUCAUUUUUUACAUGUAUUAAAAAUGGUCUUUGAGACAUUUCGGGUUCACGAACUAACCUUGGAAUGGAAACAAUUAUUGGCCAAAGAUUGAAACAUAUGUGUGAAAUUAUAGUUAAAAUAAAUAGAUAGCCAUUUCAAAAUAAAUGAAUAAUCGUUUUGAGAUAGAGACUUGGGGGAUGUGUUAUGUAAAUUAACAGUUAACCAAUAUCCAUAAAUGGUAAACCGUUUGUGCGUUCAAAGGUUUCUUAUGUUUUUGGAUGUCAACAGUUAUCUGAUUAUAGAAAAUGGAUCACAAUUUCUGUGGGAUUAUAGAAUUGUUCCAAGGUUUUGUUUCUCAUUUGCAUUAAACUUCAUCGUUUUCUCUCUAGGCCGCAACAAUUAAGCUUUAUUUCUCUAAAAUUCAUCAUUUGUUUGAGUGUUUCUUCCAAAAUUGAACCACUACAAUCAUUAUAAACCUUUUAAACUUCAUUUCUCCAUCAUCAAAAUCCCCAAUUUAAAACCCUAACUGUGAGCCGAGCAAUCAUCUUCAAAAUUGGUUGGAUUUUCACCAUUUUUUGGUAAUUUGAGCACCAACAUUACUUCUUAUACCCUCUUCACUUUAAUUGAUUAAAUUUCUCCCAAAACACUAAAUUUUCCAAAAUUCUCAAAUUUAGUAUAAAUGGCUGGUGAUGUGUCUUCAAGAAUAGGAAAAAGGAAAAAGCAAAUGGCAAGGAGGAGUCUAGUACAUCUUAGAACUGAUCCUGAGUUUGAUAGAACUCAUUUUCCAACCCCUCCAUUGGCUAGAUAGUUCCACUCUAGGUUUAUAUCCUAAUAGGUAAUUUCUUUAAACUAUGUUAAUAUAGAUAGUCUUGAUGAACUUUCUACAUGUGGUAAAAGUGUUAGGAGAUUGUUAGAAAUAGUAGGUUGAGAGAAUGCUUUGAGCAUUAAGGAUAAUGUAUAUCUUAAUUAGGGUAUUUUGUUUAAAUAUAGAGAUCUCUACCUCUAGACAAGAUAGGAUCCAUAAUAAUGUGGGUGGUGUCUCUAUUAAGUUUAAUGUGAAGGAUCUUAACAGGAUUCUAGGAAUUAAGGACGAAGGGUUAAAGAUAUGUAGUUGUAGGAAAGAACUUAUGCUCAACCAUUUUCUUUAUGUUAAUGAGAUUUGGAACACAACUCCUAAUGUGUAUGGCGACCUUUCCGAUGAUAUUUGCCACAUGCCUUUUCUAUCACAACUCUUACCUCUGUAGGUUCGAGUACUUCACAACAUCCUUCAACAUGUAAUUACUCCAAGGAAAUGACAUGUUGAUGAGGUUACUCGUUUGGAUGUUCGGUUGUUAGAUUGUAUCACCCGUCAUCGAUAGGUUAACCUUGGGUAUGUGAUUAUGAGACAUAUAUUGAGUACUUCUAAAGUUAGUAACAUAUUGUUUUUUUAUAGAAGUAUCAUUACUAGGAUCCUACAUCAUUCUAGAGUACCCCUUUGUGAGUCGUUCUAUGAGAAGUCCAAGAAGUUAAGUGGAAAGGUUAUUAUUGCAUUAGGAUUUCAUAUGAGGAACAAGGAAUGGGUUAAGACCACCUUUAUUAAAAACCAAGAUACCCUAGUAGCCCCCAAAUGUGACAAAGUUCUCAAUUGAUCAGUUACCAGAUUCUAGACUAGGAGCUAGUUCUCAAAAACCUCGUUGAGUGGUAACAACACAAGCUGAGGAGGCAGAGGAAUCGAAGGGACAUCACAUGGACACCGAUGAGCCUUCAGUUUCUGAAGGCAUUCUAUAGUAGCUUAUGGGUGAGGUUCGAUCACUUUCUGAGCAACAGCAGCAACUUUAAUCUCAAUUUACUGCUUUCUAACUUUAGCAGCAAUGCAUUCUCGACCAACAGCAGCAGUUUUUGGAUGGUCAGCGGUGCAUUCUUUUUACUCUCUGUAUUUUACCUCCCAGCUUUCCACUACAUCCACUGCAAUAGUUUUUUUUACUCUUUAUAAAUUUACUUUUUGUCCAGACAUUUAUCAUUUCAUGUUAUGUUAACUUUAUGUUACAUUUUAUUUUAAUUUAUGAGAUUAGAUAUUGGUUUUUAAUGAUGAUGGUUUGAUCUUUUCUUACAUGAUUUUUUGAUAUUUGAUGGAUCAAUGAUGACUUUGAUGAUUUUGAGAUGUUGGUUUAUGUACUUUGACGAUUUGGGUGUAAUAUUGCUAAAAAUGUUUUUGAGGUGAUGAUUGUUGAUGGAGGGAGGUUCUACUGCAAUUUCAACUGGGACAAUACGAGUAAAAAAUUACUUUUUCAUUGCAUUUCUUUCCUUUUAACACUAAAUUUUCAUUUUGACGAUGAAGGGAGAGAAAAAUACAUGUAUUUGAGCUUGAUAAUUUGCUAAACAUUGCUAAAAAUUGGCAUGUUUGUUAAAUUGGCAAUUAUUUAAAUUUGUAAUAUAUUUAAAGUGAGAUUACAUUUGGGGGGAACAAAAUUGUGCAAUCUUUUUCAAUACUUGUAAGGAACGUUUUUCAUCAUCAAGAAGGAGGAGAAUGUUGACAUAAAUGUAUCCAUAACAUUGAUUUUAAUACUAACAAACAAGAUUAAAAUGAUGGAGUCUUUAAAUUGAUUAGAUUUCUUGGGCCUCAUAUUGUUUUGGACAAGAUUAAGGUUUUGGAAACAAAUGGAUAGAUGUUAGGUUUAAAACGGCAAACUAACAACAUAUGGUUGAGUUAUUAAUAGCUUCUAGAAAUUAACGGUUAACCGUUUAUGAGAGGAUGAUUAACUGAUAAAUUCUAGAAAGGAAUUUAUCUGGAAACUGUAAUUCAUUAUUCACAAACAGCAAGCCGACUCAAAUCAAUGAACUCUCUGGAAUUAAAUGGCUAACCAACAACUUUUACUUUUUUAUUCAUUUGCCAAUUGAGCUUUCAUUUGUAAACACAUACAUUGUAUGAGGGAAAAUGUGUGUAAUCUUCAUUUCAAUAUCAAAAUUGAGGGACUGCAAGCGUGGGAAAAACUUUGGGAAAAGGGUGAGAGAUCAUCUCAUAUUAUGAAGGCUUUAUUAACACCUUAGAAGUCAAUUAUAAGCAUCUUGAAGCCUAGGGUUAUAAAGGCUUGAAUAGUGAAAUUCUUAAGCUCAAUUAGUUUGGAGGCGUGGACGGCGGAGUUUGCCAAACCGCAUAAAAUUUUUGUUUUCGUUAUCUCCUUUAUAUUUAUUUGUUAUUAUAUUUAUUAUUUCUAGUUUACAGCAUAAAUUUGUAUUGAAUUUUAAACUUAUUGCUUAAUAACUUUUAGAAAUCAAGAUAAAUAUACAUACAUACAUAUAUAGUGCUAAAACAACAAUGCAAGCAGGAAUAAGCUUCACAAAAGAAAAUGCUUACUAAUUAACAUUAGAAAGUGUUUACUUAACAAAUGUUAAAAUUUUCAUUUUACACACACACAAUUGACAACACUAACAACUUUUUCACAUUAAUGAAUCUUUGGUCCAUUUGAAGAAUAAUUAAUUUUUACUUUUUUUCUGAGUGAUUGUUGUAAUUUGAUGAAAAUCCCUAAAUUCAUGAGUUUUUGAUACUCAAAUUGAAAAAUGGACAUGAACUUUGUAUUCUAGAGACCAAAAAAAUCUUUUGAAGAGUCUCUAGAAUUUAUCACAUUAGAUUAGCCCUUCAAUUUUACAUUAAUCAUUCUAAAAAGUUAAGAUCUUGCCAUUCAUCUAAGCGCAUACACAUCCCAUUGCACCAAAUUCAGCCAAAUUAAUUUAUUAGUUCAGCCACCUUGACAAAAAGAGCCAAUGGAGAGUUCCGAUUUGACUUGAAUUGUAGCUAUUGAUUAAGUUGAAUCCAACCCUCUAUAAUGCACCACAUUGGUUACAAUUUUAGACCCUCAGAUUGUGUUAUUAAGGCUCAUCUAAAAGCUAUUAUUGUAGGCUUACCAAAGUUAUCAUGUAAAUAGAGGCAAGGGAGUUCACAACUGAGGGUGCAAAACUUAGGUGUGAGUUUUGUAGAAUUUUCUGUGUGAAGUUUAUAACGAAAAGUGUGAAGUUUGUAGGGAAAAGUGUAGUUAACAAUUUUUUUUUUUUUUAACUCUCUCAUUUGCUUUCAAUUUCCUUGUAUUGUGCUUUUACAAUUUAAUUUGUCAAAUAAAUAGGUGUUUUUGCUUAUCAACACAAGUGGCUGAUUUUCUAAAUUAUGAUGAAGCUCAAAGAUUCGAAUAUGGAUUUAGUUACUCUCUCAGUGAGUUUCAAAUUUAUUAUUUUUUAUUGUAUGUUUAAAAGUUGUAUUUUCUACCGAUUAUUUUCAUUUCAGAUUUAUUUGUAUAUUUAGAACUUCUUGGAUCUAUGUGGGAGUUUAAACCUAUGUCAACACAUUAAUACGAUAGUAGGAACUCUCCAAUAACUUAAGAACUAGGUCCCACAAUAUGUAAAUUGGGAAAACAAAAUGCAAAUUAUAAAUAUUAGAGACUAUUACAUCUAUAAUUUGAAUACCAAAAGUGUAUCCCACAACCUUAACACUUUUUUAUUUGGAUUAUUUUUUGUUAACUUAAUUUUCUACAAUUAUUUUCAUUUAAUUAUUAAUUAACAUAUUUUUAAAUUUAUUGUGGUUCGCCCCUACAUUGACAGGUCUAUAUUAUAAAUAGUACUUUUAUAUUAAAAAAUAAUUAAUUACUUUUAGGUAGUGUUAAGUUCUUACAUUGACAGGUCUAUAAUAUUUGUGUUUUUCUUUAUUUUUAUUUUUGAUUUUCACUUUUUUAUUUUUCUAUACCCCAUAUUCCCUCUUUUCGUGAAAAUUUUCAUUUAGUCCUUUCUAUAUUCUAAAAAUAUACUUUUAACCAUAAAGACUUUCAAUUGUUUUGUUUUCAUCCACAGAUUCUUACCGAUAAGCUUUUAGACUUUUAAAAAUACUAUUUUGGACGCAUAACAUUAGACUUUUUGUAAUUAAACUCCUAAACCAAAAUUUUCACAUACUAAAAACUUGUAUUAGAACUUAAUGGACAUUGAUAACUUAUUUUGAAUAAUUUUUCGCAAUUAGUCUAAGUGAACAAGGAAUCACUUUCUUUUUUCUUUAGAAUUAUAGUAAAGCCUAAAAAAUUUAACUAAUUGCAUAAGUUGGCUAGUAAUUUUUAAAUUGGAUUAAAAAAAGUAAAAAAAUUGGUUCAUACUUCGAGGUAAGUAAUUCUUGCCUUCUUUUCUCCUUUCAAUUUUAAGUCUUUUAUUUUUCACCUUUUUCUAAUUAUUUAAAUUAUUGUCAUUUUCUUUUUAGUAAGAUUUGUGUGCUUUUUUUUUUUUUUUUACUUUCUGUUUGCCUUUUUCUUUGCUCUAAUUUAUAUUUUGAUGUGAACUUGUACAUCCAAUAGCAGAUUAGUUAGAAGAUCAUCUUAAACACUAGUAAACAUGGUCAACAUCCAUACUGACAACUUCUUAAACCAUGGAAAUAACCAAGUUCUACAAAACAACCAAGCCUUUAAAAUCUUCAUGACUAAUCUAGGACACUCAGAGAAUAUUUUCACCCCAAUAGAGUAAUAUCACCUUCAUGCAUAGUUUUCCUUUUUGGUGCAUUAUGUUUUAAUUUCAAAGAAGAAAUCAUUCAAUUUUUGCCUAUUUUUCAUAGUUUUGAGUUUGAAAAUCCAUACCUAUGUUUGAGAGAAUUUAAAAAAUUUUGUAAUACUUAGAAUUUAAAAAAUUUUGUAAUACUUACACUAAUAAAAUUUAUAGCAUGAACAUCAUUAGACAUAAGUUUUCCCCCUCUUAUUAAAGAAAAGGGCUAAAACAUGGCUUAAUAUUGCUUCUUUGGUGGUCCAAAACAUGACAGCAAUUAUGGUACUGCUUAUGUCACUGUUCACUCAGUAACAAUAAUAAAAUUAAUCAAGGUGUGAGCAAAGCAUUGUCCUUAAAGCCGAUUUUUGCUCCUCUAAGGAGAUUUCUCGAUGCAAAAAGAACACAAAUAAAGCAUAUUGACCUUUAGGAUUCAAUAACGUUAUUGUGAGGUUGCAUCCAAGCACAACAGUUUAGAGUAGCGAAACAAAAUUUUAUGAAGAAAAUAUAAGAUAAAAGGAGAGAUUAUAAUUGUAUCCUUCAUGUCUCCCUUAGAUAGAAGACCCUCUAUAAUCCUUUUCCAAAUUCAAUUUGAAUCAGUCGUCCAUUUUCUUUACUUAAUUUGAAUUAGUCAUCAACAUGCCUCAUAAUUUAAUUUAAUUUAAAUAAUCCAAAUCACGUUUAGAUUUGACUUAUUCAACUCUAAUUUAUAAUUAAAUUAAACACGUGACUAAUUUCAAGUCAAAUAUAAAAGUGAUUACUACCCUCAAAUAUAGGACAUUAGUAUUUUGAAAUACCAAUAAGACUUUAAACUUCUCCCAUAUAUUUCAAAUACUUCAAUUUCCUUCAUUAUAGAGUUUAAUGCAUAUGAACUAGUGCCUUUUCAACUUGAACCCAUUGAACAACUAAUUGUAUUUCAUAAGAACUUGGUGAAACUUAUAGUUUCUAUGAACUAAUAUUUCUUUUAUGUAAGGCAGAGGACCAGAAACUCACACUAUACACUAAUAAUGUUUUGUUGUUCAACGGUUUUGACGCUUUAAUUGGCCUUGUGCUUUUUGGAAUUCAUGAGUGCUUUUUGGAAUUCAUGAGUGCUUUAGAGAUGCAUGUUUAGCUCUUAUAAGAACAUCAUCAAUUUAAUGCUCAUUUAUGUAAACCUCUAUCAAAUGUGUCUUGUAGUUUUGACACAUCAACAUACAUGAAAUAUAAGCAAUAAACAACUAUCUCUUAUUUGGGAGGACUAAAUAAAUAAAUCAAUAGUGUCAUAAGACAACAAGUAACUUAUUAUUACCCUUAUAAAUAUACUUCAUGGGACUUCUAAUCACAUAGUUAGGGUUACCAUUACUUUUUUCUUUUGUUUUAAACAGAAGUCUACACCCCUAUGAUGUAAUUACCACUAACCUCAUCUUUAGCAGAUUAGUUAGAAAAUUAGACAAAUUUGACUUUGACAUUAUAAAUCUACGCCCGCAAUCCCAGAUUCUAGCAACUACUCAAGAAUAUUAUAUUUUAGAUGAAAUUUAACUGCUUUUCCAUUAUAUAUCUUACCUCUUUGCCCAUGGUUAUAACAAUGUGGCAAUCACAAUAUAAUCACAUAGAAAUAGAAGGAUAAAUGUUAAUGGAAAGAUCCACUAAAAGGUUUAUUUACCACUUAGCUUCAGUACAUGCCUUCUUUAAGGUAAUUAACUUAGACUUCAUGGUAGAAUUAGCUAAACAUAUUUGUUUGGAAUAUUGCCAAGACAAACUCCUUCAUUAAGGGUAAAUAUAUAAUCACUAGUGCAUUUGAUUUCAUCUUAUCCCAAAAUCAAAUUCAUAUCAUUAUACCUUUCUAGCACAGAUGGAGAGCUAUUAUAGUUAAGUUCGGAUCAAUAGUGCCUUUCAAUUAUUUUACAAGUUUAUCUAUAGUUGUCAACUGAUCUUUACUAAGAUUUGUGGUGUAACUACUCAAUCUACAUGUAGCAGAUGUAAUGUCAAGCUUGUACUGUUCAUCAGGCCACCAAUAAUUUGGACAUAUCUCAAUAUAUCAAAACUAUGUUAUAGAUUUCUCUUAAAGGGGAUAUUUACGUCGUGCGGUGUGAAAACUAGUUCUCCAACAUAAUACUCACACCACCUCAACAUUGUGUUCCUGUGACAAUACAAGACCAUCACUAACCUAAGUAAUUUCGAUGCCUAAUAUUACAUUUGCUUCUCUUAUAUUUUUAUAUCAAAGUUAGAAGCAAGCAUCCUCUUAGUCUCAUUUAUCGUUCCCAAAUUACGACUCAGGAUGAACAUGUUAUUAAGUAAAGAAAAAUGAUCAUAUAAUAUUAGCAUCGAUGGGCUUAAUAUAGAUAUAUUUAUCUAAGUCAUUAAUCACACAUGUAUUUGAUGCUAAUAUUUGAUUAAACUUUUCUUGCCACUGUUUUAAUGCUUGCUCUAAACCAUAUAAUAACUUAACUAAUUUGCAUACCUUUUUGCUCAGUACCUAAAACUAGACAACCCUUUGGUUGACUUCUCUAGUUUUCCUCAUCCAAGUCUACUUUUAGAUAAGCAAUUAGACAUCCAUCUAAUAAAUAUGUUAGUUAUGAAUUACAGCUAGUGCAAUCAAACUCUAAUAGAUGCAAUAGGUUUAAAUAAUCUAUGUCUUUCUUUUAAGAGAACCCCUUGGUAAUUAAUCUUGCCUUAUAUUUAUCAGUUGAUCCAUUAACUUUCAAUUUUCUUUUGAAAAUUCAUUUGCACCUAAUAGGUUUUAUAUCUAAAGGUAUAUCAACUAAUUCUUAUACACAAUUACUCAUCAUGGAAUCUAACUCACUGUUGAUUGCUUCUCUCUAUAGAGGUGCAUUUCGAGUAACGUUUUUGAAAGUUUAGGGAUCAUUCUGAGUGAGAAAAAUAUAGAAGUCUCCAUCAAAACUAGGGGUGGGCAAAAUCGGGUUCGGUUCGGGUUGGGUUAGGGUCAACCCGAUUGGAUUUCGGGUUGUUCGGGUUAGGCAAACAUUGAUCCGAAUACAACCUUAACUUACGACCCGAUCCGAUAUAUAUUUGGGUCGGAUCGGGUCAAAAAUCGGGUUGAGUUCGGGUAGGAUCGGAUUUGGGUUAAAGAUACACUAAUUUUCUUAAUUUUAUUGCUAACAUUUAAAUUACAUAAUUACAACAAUCAAAUACCGAUUACCAAAUGUUAAUUUGUUAUAUAUAAGACAAUAACCAAUUAACCAUAUAUAAUUAUAUACCAUGAAAAAGCUUCAAAAUUCAACAAAGUGUUGAAACUCGGGUCACACAAAGUGACAAAGGGCAGAAAGUCGAGUCACGCAAAGGGCAGAAACUCGGGUCACAUAAAGGGCAACUCAGGUCGGGUUUGAGGCUUGGGCCUUGGAGCAAUAGAUCGAUGGCCACGGCAGCUUAUCACGAAUGGGUUUUCGGCAACACAGCGUCGGCAUUUGGCGACAGCAGAUCGUCGGCACUUGGCGGCAGCAGAUCGCGUACGGUUGGAUGCGCAGCAGCAGAUCGUAGGGACUGGCCGGAGAUGGAGAAACAGCAGUAGAUCAUGGGACUAGAGAGAGUGUGGCCUCCGUUGGCGGUGGCCGUUGGGUGUCAAUGUCACGGUGUGAUGAUGAUCAAAGAGGGUUGUUGUGGGUGCGUGUUUGCGUGAGUCUUGUGAGUUUGUGUUUAUUGUGAAUCUGUUGUGUGAUUUGUGUAAUUGUGAGAGUGUGACUAUGUGGUGUGCGUGAGAUAAUGUUUAGGUUUAAUUUUUUUUUAAGCAACCUGAUCGGGUUUUACCCGAUCGGGUUUACAAUAUUUCGUCCGAUCGGGUUCUCUUCACGACCCGAUCCGAUCCGAACCCGAAAUUUUUCGGAUCGGAUCGGGUCGGGUAUUUUGCCCACCCCUAAUCAAAACUACUGAUCAUUGUUAAACUUAAUCUUUUACUUUUCAACUAGCAUGUGAUGCUAGUGAUUUUGCCGUUGAAGCCGCUUUGGGAUAAAGAAUGGAAGAUAAGCCCUUUAUUAUUUAUUACACAAAUAAAAAUCUAAACAGUGCUCAGGUGAAUUACACCACUAUUGAAAAUAAAACAAAUUUUAGAAAGUUAACUUAAACCAUAAAAAUUAGUGUUUUCGACUUAUUGAUGCACUUUGGGCUUACAAUACUAAAUUUAAGACAUCUUUAAGAAUGUCUCCUAUCGUUUGAUUUAUGGUUAAUCUUGUUACUAACCAAUUGAACUUCAGCAUAAAUCAUUUUUGGCUAUUAAAGUUUUUAAUUCAAAUCUUGAUGAUGUUGGUAAUGUGCCCAAAUUGUAAUUCAAUGAAUUUGAAAGAUUAAGUGAUAAAGCAUAUAAGAAUUCAAGAAUUAUUAAAUAAAAAACCAAAGCCUUUCAUGGCAAAUGAAAUUUUGAGAAAACUUUUGAGAUUGGCUAAAAGGUAUUGUUUUAUUAUUCUCAUCUUCAUUUAUUUGUAGAAAAGUGAAAGUCAAAGUAAAGUGGCACACUCAUUGGAAAGAAUAUCUACUCAUAUGGGGCUGUAGAAUUAAGAAUCCUAAGAAUAGAAAUAUUUCUAGAGUGAAAGAAGCAAAAUUGAAAUUAUUCUUGGACAAAUCUUUUCCUCGAGCUCUUCUUUGAUCCUCUUCAUUCUGGAAAUUAAUUCUCCUUUUUAUUACUUAUUUUCGCUUUUGUUUUUUCAUUGAUUUUUUUUUACAAGUUGAUUUCGUGGGUACAGUUUCUCCACUUAGUUAAAUGGGAGAUGAUGGUAAUCCUGGCUCUUAUAAUCGAUUUUUUGAUUUCCCACAAUAACUAAUAACCCUCUAAAUUAAGCAUAGAAGAAAUUCUAAAGAAACUACAUUCACACUUUCUUUGAUUAUCUUAUCAACAUCUAUGAAGCAUGAUUGAAAAAAUGAGGCCAUUGAUGGUCAGUAGCAUCUCUAAAGAUAUUCAUUAGCUUAUUGAAGCUAAGGCUCAGUUAGCUAAUAUAUCAUUUUUUUCUCACAUGCUUGGUUUAGCAAAGAGCACUUAUGCCAAAAAGCAUAGAGCUAAGAGGUUAGGUGUUUGUUAUAAAUAUGCAGGCUGGACUUGCAACACAGGUUUCCGCUUUUUGGGGGAUAUAUAUGAUAAUCUUGUGGAUAAGAUUCAAUUCCUUAUGCAUGACUUGGGUAGAGAGAUGUUAGAUAACAAUAUCUUAUCAGUUCUUGAGAUGCAUCCUAGUGGCUAUGUGUAACUUGAGAUCGAAGGAUUAUUGAUAUAAUUUUGGCAUGAAUGAGCACAAUUCAGUCUAGGGUAUUUGACUUUAAAAAAUUAUGUUUGUCAAUUUAUAAGAAAACUAAAUGAGAAGUUUCUUCCCGACCUAUGAGAGGGCGUUAAACUAUUUUACAAAACUAAAGAAAAAUAUGAGCUAUAGUCACAAUUACCAAUAUAUAUCAUUUCUUUUCCUAUUUUGCUUUAAUUUUGUUGACUUAUUCAUCUGACAUUUCUUAUAGCAUUUGACUUAUUUAUCCUUCCUGCUAUUUUUGACACUUUAUUUGACAAUUGCCAACUUUUGCAUUUAUUAUUGUUAAAACAUUAGCUUCUAGAUCUAUAGAUACCUUGCUAUAUUUAUCUCUUUCCUAGUCUUUGAAAAAGAAAUAAUUAUAACGUUAGCAGUUCUAAUUUUACAACUUAAAAUUAUUGAUGUGUUUUUUGGAUAAAUUUCUAGACAAGCUAAAAAAAACCAAAUAAUAAAUAGGCAUUUAUUAUACUAUUGUCUUAGACUGAUAAGUUAUUUAAUUAAGAUAAUAUUUUAGCUUUAAAACUUUUAUUUUAAAGGCCAGUACAUAGAAUUUUUUUUAACUAUUCACCUCAUUAGUUGUUGGGUUAGGAUUGUUAAUCUGAUUAUAAUUUUAUGAUUAAAUGCAAAUUUAACCUUAAUUAUCUUGAAAUAAACCAAUCCCAACAUAUUUAAACUAUCACCAAACAAUUCUUAUUGGUAUUCUUUUGUAUGAAUCAUAUAUAUACAAUUUAGCUAUGGAGUCAUAUUGGUGUAAUUCUCCUUUUAUAUGUUUAAAGAGACAACGAAAAAAAAAAAAAAAAGAGAAAUUUUGUAAACAAAAAUGGUUUUUAAUAAAAAAACAAAAUUUAUAGUAAACUAUUUGAGUGUUGCCAUCAUGGCACGGCGAUUGUCACACACACAAAAAAGUAAUGGCCAAUUUUUUUUUUUUUUUGAUAUGAAACUGUCUCUUUCAUUUCUCAAACUCAGAAAACAAAUACAAAACGUUUUAUGGAAUAUUUGUUGGGGAAAAAUCAGGGUAUAAAGUGGCUACCCUGCUUUUUCUUUAGAGAAAAUAAGCAUUUUAUAUCUCCUUUUAGUGAAAACUCUAGGCUCCAAAUAAUCAAAAAACAAAACUUACGUUACUUGUUUUUUCUAUAGGGGACCCACCUUGUAAAAUAACAUAAGGCCCCUUAUACAAAAGCUAAUUAAAUGGAGCCUCUCACUAAAUGAUAUAUUUAGGCUUUUGGCCCAAAUAGCUAGUUAUCUUGCUUAUUAGUCCAGUAGUGGUGCAGUCAAUUAAAUGAGCUAACCCGAGGAUUAUUUGGGAACAUACAAUAGUGGCUACAAUAAUUAGGCUUGUAAUUAAACUAUCCCAAUUAUUUAAUUCCAAAUCUACUCCACUAGAAGAUUGGAACUGACUUCCAUAAUUGUAUGUUCGAAUAAUAAUUCGUCCCAAGCCACAUUGAUUUCUUUACUGCAUAAUCCUUUGUACCACAUCGUUAAUUAAAUUGAUAUCUCAACUGUCCAAUCAAUUUAAUAACAUCUUGUUCCUUAAUACUUACUGGUUUUCUCUAAUGACCAUUUUCAACAUACUAAAUAUGUUGAUACACUCUGGCCAGAGAAUUUUAUGAUCAAGUACCGAAAACCUAUCAAGAGAUGUGUUGUACAAAUUCUAUAUUGUUAAUCCAUAACUCCAAUACUCAUAAUUGCUUCCACCAAGAUACCGGGUAAUCUUGACCACAAGUAUGUGUCGUGCCCAUUGGUAACUCAAAUGGAAUGACAAUUACAAUCAUGAAAUCAUAAUUAACUCAAGAUUAAGAUUACAGUAAAAUCAACGCCUAUGAGAUUUUAAUAAGUCUGACAGUUAUUACAAAGUUAAUUAAAUCUCACAUGUGAUCCUGUUCAAUGUAGUUGUACUACAUCAAUAAAUUCAUACAUGAUUAAGACAAAUCAUUCAAUGAAUUUAUUACAGUCUAUACCUAAAUAAAGUGCCCAACUUUAUUUAUCAACUGCGAACUAAAUUUAUUUAAUCAUAAGAUAACUUGUAUUUAUGUCUUCUGUGAAUCCACAUGGUGAUCACAUAAAUACAUAUAAUAUGAUUAAAUGGACUUUAAUACAAAUAUUAAUGCAAUUAAGAUAUUUGAAUAAAAUACCUCAUUAAUUUUAUUAAUCAGAAAAAAUAUUUAUUACAAUUAAAUAAACACAUAUGCUUUUAAAGAGCAUAUUUUCCCAACAAUAUUAUCCAGCCAUGAGACAAAACUAUCUUGUUCUAGAGCUGCUUUAGCUAAUGAGUGAGCUACUCCAUUACAAUUCCUUGAUUCAUAUUGAAUUUUGGCCUGUUGCAGUCUCUUGAUCCUUUCUUGGAUUUCAGAAAUGAUCCAAAAGAUUUCAGUCCUUGUGCUUUUUCUGUUAAGAACUAAAUCAACCACCUCCUGCGAAUCUGUCUCUAUAAUCAAAGGCAUGCAUCCUGCACUUUCUGCAAUUUCCAAUCCCAGCUUUGUAGCUUCAGCUUCAGCAAAAGCCACACUACCACUGAAAGUCGAUGGCUUCAUGGCUGCUGCCACACACUUUCCUUCCGAGUUCCUUAUGACCACUCCUAAACCCUCUUUAUCUUGCUCUUCUCGCACAGCAGCAUCUACAUUCAAUUUAAAGUGCCCUGCUGGAGGUUGUUUCCACUGUUGACUGCUAAUGGCUUUCUUUCCCAGAUUUGAUUGUAAUUCAGGCUGCCUGAUUUUUUUGUAUGAAUUCACCACAGCUUUAGCUCUUGCAACUAAUAUCUGGGGAUCUUCCAUUUUGUUCCUGAGAAUAUGAAGAUUCCUUGAGUGCCAAACUACCCAGCAUAAAGAAAAUAUCAGUUCCAUAUCAGUUUUGCAUUUCUUGUUGGCCAUUUCUAUCAACAUGCUGGCCACAUCUUCACAUCUAGCCUCCUUUAUUUCAUUCCCAUGGUCUGUAAGGCUCCAUGUCUUUUGAACAACUUUGCAUUUAAAAAUAGCAUGAGCCAUCGUCACCUCUGUUCUUUGACAUCUCUGACACCAGGGGCUUUGUAACGUCUUUCUUCUCCACAAAUUGGUUGCUGUUGGCAGAAGGUUUUUGACCAUUCUCCACAUAAAAAAUUUUAUUUUUUCUGGUAGCUCUGUAUUCCAUAUUAUGCUCCAUGAAGUUUGGUUUCUCUUCAAACUGCUUGGCUGAUCAGGAAACUUUUGAUUUAGGGCCACUUGAUAUCCACUCUUAACUGUGUAUUCCCCCCUUUUGUCAAAAUGCCAUAGUGGUUGAUCUGGGCUGGGAUUUCUGGGAAGAGGAAUUUUAAGAAUCUGUUGUACAUCUUCCUCCACAAAGCUUUGCUGAACCAGCAGCUCCUUCCAUUGAUUUUCCACAUCUAUAAGUUCAGAUAUUGUCGACUCCAGUGGUAGCUUUGGAGGAGAGAAAGGUUUGAAAGUCUUAAGUCUUGGGAUCCAACGGCUGUGAUAUAUCUGAGCACUCCUCCCAUCUCCGAUUCUCCAUCUCAGCCCCUCAUUUAUAAUUUGCCUCCCCCACAGAAUACUUCUCCAUAUGAACGAUGGAUUUGAUCCCAAAUUUGCCCUUAAGAAAUCAGUACCUUUGAAGUACCUGGCCUUUAACACCUUUGCCACCAUUGAGUUGGGAUUUUGUAUAAUUCUCCACCCUUGUUUCGCCACCAAUGCUUGAUUAAAACAAGUUAAAUCCCUGAACCCCAGCCCACCUCUGCAUUUUGCUUGACACAAACUUUCCCACUUGGCCCAAUGAAUAGACCUCUGGUUUUGUUUCGAUCUCCACCAAAAUCUUGCAAUGGCCCUUUGAAUAUCCUCGCAUCGCCUCACUGGUAACUUAAAAACGCUCAUGGCAUAAACGGGAACUACCUGCGCAACAGCUUUUAUCAACACCUCUUUUCCUCCUCUAGAAAACAUCCUUGACUGCCAAUUAGAUAUUUUACUCAGCACUUUGAGUUUUAUGCUGUUGAAAAAAUUUAGCUUCUUUCUUCCCACCAUAGAAGGUAACCCCAGAUAUCUUUCAUGCUGCGACACUACUUGUAGCUGGAACAAGUUUUUGAUUGCAGCUAUUUGUGCCGGUUGAGUCCUUCCGCUGAAAAACAUGAAGGAUUUGUCAUAAUUGAAAAUUUGUCCUGAUGCCUCAGCAUAGCAAUCAAAGAUUUUCUUCAAGUUGGAGCAAUCUUCGAAAGUGGCUCUUGUGAAGAUUAGACUGUCAUCUGCAAAGAGGAGGUGACUAAUUGAUAGCUCUUUACUGAAACUCAACCCCUUGAUCAGCUUAUUUUCCUCAGCUUGAGUCAUCAUACUUGAGAAGACCUCUGCACACAAUAUAAAUAAGUAUGGGGAUAGAGGGCAGCCUUGUCUAAGCCCUCGUUGAGGUUGAAUUAGCCCUUUAGGUGCCCCGUUUAUCAAAACUGAAAAUGAGGGAGUGGUGAUACAUCUCAUGAUUAGAUCUACCCAAUUUGUUGAAAACCCAAGCACCUCCAUUGCUUGCUUUAAAAACCUCCACUCUACCCGAUCAUAAGCCUUGCUAACAUCUAAUUUUAAAGCUACCCAACCCCUUUUUUUCUUUUACUAAGCCUAAUUUUAUGUAAACACUCAUACCUAAUGAUUAUAUUAUCUGUAAUGAGUCUGCUUGGGAUGAAUGCACUUUGAGUAUGUGAUAUUACAAGAUGCAACAUUUCUUUUAACCUAUUAGCUAUAGUCUUCGCUACUAUCUUGUAAAUGACAUUGCAUAAGCUAAUAGGUCUAAAAUCACCCACUCUCUUAAGCUUUUCACACUUGGGAAUUAAUGCAAUAUAAGUGUGAUUUAAAGGGGCAAUAUUAUCUCCUUCGUUGAGGAUGUGCAGACAUGUAGAAAUGACUCUUUCGCUGACCGCAUUCCAGUGUUUCUGGAAAAAAACAGCUGGUAAACCAUUAGGGCCAGGAGCUUUUGUUGGGUGCAUCUGUUUCAAGGCUGCAAUAAUCUCUUCCUCCGUGUACACUUGGUUCAGCUACUCGUUCAUAUUCUCUGUCACUCUCUGAGGCAUGUUCUUUAAAGCUUUCUCCAGCUGGCUAUCCGUGGGAUGUGUUGAGGUGAAGAGGUUUGCAAAAUACUCACAGAAAACCCUUUCAAUCCCUUCUAUCUCUUCUGUCCAUCUGCCAUUUUCGUCAAGGAUCCCUUCAAUUGUAUUCUUCCUCUUUGUAGCUGAAGCUUUGGAACAAAAAAAUUUUGUGUUUUUAUCGACCUCUUUUAGCCACACUGCUCUGGAUCUUUGUCUCCAAUAAGCUAGUGGAGAAAGCACUAAAAGAUUUGUGUGGACCCAACCAAAUCCACUGCGACGAGUAACGCGACCGCAUGAUAUUAAGAUUAAAACGAGUAAACGAAUAAUAAUUAAAAUGCUGAAAGCCGCAAACAAACAAAAAGAUCAAGACACUUGCCAAAUUAUUGAGAGAAGUAACAGACAUAUAGGAAAAAGGAUAAUAAAAAAAAGGAUCUCAUUCAGCUUUUUGAAAAUUCAUGAUGCCAUUGUCAACGUAUAUACUCAUUGCAGAUUAGUUCUUCGGCCCAUAAAAAAAAAAAAAGAAAAAUAAAUUAUUUAUUCAUCUCUUUCGUUUCUUCGGGGAGAUAGAGAGAAGAGAAUGGGGCACGGAAGCUCAAAAGAAGAUGAGAGUGUCUCGCGCACGUCUCGAUUCAGGAAGAAGUUUCACCUCCAUCGUGAACGACGCCGUUCUCGUGGGAAUGGCUCAAACUCUGGAUCUUAUCAUCACAACAGAGUUCUCAAUGAAGAGGAUUUCGCUGGAAUUGCUCUCCUCACUCUGAUUAGCGUAAUUGCUCUCGUUUUUUAUUUGGUCAGUGGAUAAAUGAUAUUUAUUUAUGAAGCAUUUUUUUUAAAUAUAAUUUUUAUUAUUUUUAGGCGGAGAUGAAGUUCAAGGACAAGUGGCUUGCAUGUGUUUCACUUGGAGAGCAGACGUUUCGCACUGCGAUUUCUGAUAAGUUACGCACUUUUGCUAGGCUACAAAAUAGUCAUUUCUUUUGUCUUUUAGUUGAUUCUUCAUUUAUGUUGACUUUGUUUUCAUUUUUGUUUGUUAUUUCUUUUUUCUGGUGCAGUACCGAUAAACCUAUCUGGAAUUCUGUGAGUACUCUGUCUCAAAUCUUAAUUUGCAGUUUAUGCAGUGACUUGGGUAGAAUAGUUUGACUUUGUCUCAUCUUUUGAAGCCAAGUGAAUGCAUGAUUUAAUUUGAAUGCAAGUGUGCAGCUGUUCUUGUGGUUAUUUUUUCCUAUUUGGUAUAUAGCUAUAUCUAUUAAUUACAUCUCGUUAAUAUUUUGGCAUAUAAUUUUGCAUGUGGCGGAUAUUUUCAUCUACCAACAAACUUUUCCAAUAAGAACUUUUAAAAAUUUUAAUAUCAUUGAGGAAAACCCUUAACACCAAUUUUUAUACUGCUAAUAAAAUGUUUGGAAAAUAUGACACUUUUGUAAUCUUGUUUUAUUUUUAUUUUUUGAGUUUUUGGUAUAAGAAAGGAGUCUUUUCCCUUAAGUUAUAUGGUUUUGUCUAGUUUCUUAUCUUGCAAAUGCAUGAUUUUUCUCUUGCCAUACUAUCCUCGACAUAGCUAAACACAGCACCUUUCACAGCAUUUUGGCUUUCUUUCCUUUACCAAAAGCGUACAAAUUCUGCUUAAGAAAAUCUUUCGUAAGAUCUUGAAACAGCCUAGCAAAUUUUGGCUUCCUUACAAAUAGUAACUCUCAUAAAAAGAUUAAAUAUGGCAAUGCAUGAAAAUAUGAGCUGUGUCUCAUCAUUUUCCUACAAAUUACAUACAAACAUGGAAAAAGACUUUAUCUUGGGUGGCGUGGUAAGUAGGCUUAUAAGCACUUUGGCUCCGUCUCCUUACAAGCCAGUUUUUAAAGCUGAGUUCUACCUUGUGUCUGCGUAACAAUUGGUAUAAAAGCACGCACCACCUUGAGUGUUGGAUCGGACAUGCCAUGCCAAGUUGGGUGUGGCUUUGUGACUGUUGUUGUGGAUAGGCUGACUUGGGGAGUGCUGCUACCUAGAAGAAGACAAGGUCUGCAAAGUCACCCAGCUAGGUAUGCGUGAUGGGCUGCUGUGGGCGUCGGUUGUGAACCGUGGUGGAAUUUUAGGAUCCUAUCUCCUAUAUUGCUAAGUUAAGGCUAGGCAAUUGGGCUUAUAAGCACUUGGCCUUCCUCUCCUUACAAGCCAGUUUUUAAGGAUAAGUUUUACGCAAUGUGUUUCUUUGCAAUUAAUUGGCUGUCUUAUCCCUGAAUAGGAUCUUAAAACAUUGAAGAUUUGGAGAGCCUUUGGGCUUCCAUCACAUUGACUUGGUGUUAGAUCUCAUUGGAAUUCUCACAACUUGCAAAAUAAGAAAUACCAGAAUUCUUGAAACCUCAGUCCUUUAAUCUUUUGUGCUAAUCAUGUACAUGGGCUAAACAGCUACCACAUCAACUCAUUUGUUGCAUUGUGCCUUUGGAUCUCUUUUUUUAAGUUAAUUUAUGUUGCAUUCUUGCAGAUGAUGGUCAAAACAUUAUUCUUCUUUUAUUACUUUCUUUGUAUAAACUGCAUUUUAAAUACUGCUCGAGUAUCCCUAUUGUAUGCAGCUAUACUGCCUGUACUAUGUCGUUCUGAAGAUGCUAUACUUAUUAAAUUUGAUUUCAUGUUUUCUGGAUUCUUUAUGCUAAAUUGAAAGUUGAUUUUAUCGACAUGCACAUGUACUGUCAAGUUGCAGGUUCUGUAUCUUACUGAUUGAAUGAACACUAUGUGAAUCUAGAAUUAUGCUUUAACUACAGGAAAAGAAACUUCUCUUGGAAACGAAUGGGCCUCAUGUUGCUAGGAUAUCGGUAUUUGAGGUAUGCAGUAACUUUAAGCUGGUUUUUGCAAAACUCUAUUCAUUUCAUUGAAUUAAAUGUGUCUUUUGUUUUGGGCCACCAAGGAGGUUCAAUUUAACCCCCAAGUAGCCUUUUAUUCCUUUUGUUAUCUUAGAAACAAAAUAUGAUGUAAUUUGAGGGAAACAAAUAUCCCUCUAGUUUAAUUUACUGAAUUAUUUCUUUAAACACCAUCAACAAUAAUUCCUGUUUAUUUAUCAUCUAGUGGAUGGGUUGUAGAUAAUGUCAUUCUAAUCUAACCAACGGUUAUCCUGUUAACGUGUAAGUCACUCUUUUUGUUAACGUCCGAAUGAUGCUUCCCUUAUGAUCUGAAAAUACACUCCAUCUGCUGCACACUAUAUGAUGGUAUUUUCAAACCAUCAACAGUAAUUCCUCUUUAUUUAUCGUGUGGAUGGGUUGUAGAUGAUGUCAUUCUAAUCUAAUCAAUGGUUAUCCUGUUAACAUGUAAGUCACCCUUUUUGUUAAUGGCCGAGGAUGCUUCUUCCCUUAUGAUCUGAAAAUACACUCCAUCUGCUGCACACUAUAUGAUGGUAUUUUCAAUGUUUAAGGCAAUAAAUAUUUUGAAUCUUUCUAUGAUAGAAAAUAAAAGAAUUGUACUAUUAAGAGAGAAAGCAUCAUAAAUUUAUUUAAGUGGAAACUCUGGCAGAAAGCCGACAAAGUGUGGUUUAACUUGAUUUAGGUUUAUCUUUUGGGUAGGUCAUAAAAGUUCUCUGCUAUGUAAGUCACUCUUUUUGUUAACGUCCGAAUGAUGCUUCCCUUAUGAUCUGAAAAUACACUCCAUCUGCUGCACACUAUAUGAUGGUAUUUUCAAUGUUUAAGGCAAUAAAUAUUUUGAAUCUUUCUAUGAUAGAAAAUAAAAGAAUUGUACUAUUAAGAGAGAAAGCAUCAUAAAUUUAUUUAAGUGGAAACUCUGGCAGAAAGCCGACAAAGUGUGGUUUAACUUGAUUUAGGUUUAUCUUUUGGGUAGGUCAUAAAAGUUCUCUGCUUGUUUCCAUCAAGGAUUGAACACAGUUUUGCAUAGAUAGGCAAAGGAUGAAAUCUGUGAACUGUGAAGUGAGAAUUGAGAAGAAGGGUAAAAUUAUCACGUGACAUGUCUUUUAAUGUUAUGAUUCUGGCUACUACUUGGAAUCCCAUGUUGUAGCUUUUCUAUUUCCUGUCAAUCAAGACUGUGAUGCAAUUUGGUUCUUAUGCUAUCACUAUUCCUUGGUGAGCCAAUUAGGACCCAAGGUCUUAUUCCUAGAACAGCUUGUAGCAAUAAAUGUUCUUGGCCUUAAUGGUGGACUUGUACUUGCAGUUUGUGACUUGGUGUGGACUUUGUGGUGUUCGAGUAUUGGGAGGACUAGGGUUUGGUUUUGAUUGAGAUUUGAAGGUUAAGGUGGCAGAAUUAGACCAAAGAGAUGCUGGAAUUUUCUGAUGCUCUAAAAGUAUAUGUUGCAAGGGCUGUUAUUGAUGUGUUAGUGAUUUAGGAGUUAGGACUGCAAGAGAAUCCAGAGAUCAGGUGAGGGGAUAGAAAUAUGAUAGGAAUGGAUAGAGGAAAAAAGAUUUGAAGUUUAGGCAGAAGAAUUGAAGGGAGAAUAUAUAAUCUCCUCCCAAUUAGAUUAUGACAUAUUUAAAGAUAAGAGAAUGGUGGUAAUUUUGGCUGCUGACUUUGAUAGGGAGAAGUUUUAAAGAUAUGGAUAGGAGGUUCACUAAGUCAACUGAUUAAGGCUAAAACUUGGCAGGAAUUGAAAACAAAGGUUGAUGGAAAUUUUGCCAACGUUUAGUUGGUUUGGUGGAAAUGUUGGGGAAAUAAUGUGUUUGAUUGAUUGGUUCUUUUAUUUUUGUUUUUAAACUUAAAAUAAAUCUUUUUGUCUAUUUGUAUUGAUAUAUGUACUUGCUAUAUAUAUACACAAUGUUCUUAUGCAGUUCAAUGGAGUUGGUUUUCCCUUUUCCUUGGUUUGUCCUGUCCACUUCUUUUUAAAUACAGGCGUCAGCUCUAGAUAAUUAUAUUUAUGCAUAUGCUUCAAAUUAUUAUUUUCUCUUUUUGGCCUUCCAUACUGAAGUUCUUAUGCAGUUCAGUGGAGUUGGUUUUCCCUUUUCCUUGGUUUGUCCUGUCCACAUCGUUUUAAGUACGCCCAAGGUCUUAUUCCUAGAACAGCUUGUAGCAAUAAAUGUUCUUGGCCUUAAUGGUGGACUUGUACUUGCAGUUUGUGACUUGGUGUGGACUUUGUGGUGUUCGAGUAUUGGGAGGACUAGGGUUUGGUUUUGAUUGAGAUUUGAAGGUUAAGGUGGCAGAAUUAGACCAAAGAGAUGCUGGAAUUUUCUGAUGCUCUAAAAGUAUAUGUUGCAAGGGCUGUUAUUGAUGUGUUAGUGAUUUAGGAGUUAGGACUGCAAGAGAAUCCAGAGAUCAGGUGAGGGGAUAGAAAUAUGAUAGGAAUGGAUAGAGGAAAAAAGAUUUGAAGUUUAGGCAGAAGAAUUGAAGGGAGAAUAUAUAAUCUCCUCCCAAUUAGAUUAUGACAUAUUUAAAGAUAAGAGAAUGGUGGUAAUUUUGGCUGCUGACUUUGAUAGGGAGAAGUUUUAAAGAUAUGGAUAGGAGGUUCACUAAGUCAACUGAUUAAGGCUAAAACUUGGCAGGAAUUGAAAACAAAGGUUGAUGGAAAUUUUGCCAACGUUUAGUUGGUUUGGUGGAAAUGUUGGGGAAAUAAUGUGUUUGAUUGAUUGGUUCUUUUAUUUUUGUUUUUAAACUUAAAAUAAAUCUUUUUGUCUAUUUGUAUUGAUAUAUGUACUUGCUAUAUAUAUACACAAUGUUCUUAUGCAGUUCAAUGGAGUUGGUUUUCCCUUUUCCUUGGUUUGUCCUGUCCACUUCUUUUUAAAUACAGGCGUCAGCUCUAGAUAAUUAUAUUUAUGCAUAUGCUUCAAAUUAUUAUUUUCUCUUUUUGGCCUUCCAUACUGAAGUUCUUAUGCAGUUCAGUGGAGUUGGUUUUCCCUUUUCCUUGGUUUGUCCUGUCCACUUCUUUUUAAAUACAGGCGUCAGCUCUAGAUAAUUAUAUUUAUGCAUAUGCUUCAAAUUAUUAUUUUCUCUUUUUGGCCUUCCAUACUGAAGUUCUUAUGCAGUUCAGUGGAGUUGGUUUUCCCUUUUCCUUGGUUUGUCCUGUCCACUUCUUUUUAAAUACAGGCGUCAGCUCUAGAUAAUUAUAUUUAUGCAUAUGCUUCAAAUUAUUAUUUUCUCUUUUUGGCCUUCCAUACUGAAGUUCUUAUGCAGUUCAGUGGAGUUGGUUUUCCCUUUUCCUUGGUUUGUCCUGUCCACUUCUUUUUAAAUACAGGCGUCAGCUCUAGAUAAUUAUAUUUAUGCAUAUGCUUCAAAUUAUUAUUUUCUCUUUUUGGCCUUCCAUACUGAAGUUGAAUGAUUAUUUUGAUCUCUGUGAAAUAAUUUCUACAUUAAAUUUUCUAUAUUCUGCAGACUAAUAGAUUGUCGAAAAGCAAUCUUGAAGGAUAUUGUGAAGUUGAUCUCCUUGAAUUUCUAACAAAGGUGAGAGAUUUUAUUAUUGAAUUCUUAGAAACUUCUUAGUAGUAAUUUGGUGCAUAAACCUGGGAAUUUCCAUAGAACUACAAAUGAAAGUCGCACAAUUGCGUGCAAUUGCAUGUGUGUGCACGUUACAUAGAGAUAUGAUAAUGAGUGUCUCCAUCCUUUUGCUGUGAAUAUGAUGUUGGUGAUAACGGCUUUGAACAAUUGGAUUGUAAGUUUUUGGUGGAAUAGGUGCACUGCAUGAGUGCAUGGAAUGUUGUUUUGGCUGUUUAAGCUGCAUUUGGCACGCAAGGCAAACUGGACUGAGACUGGAAUAGAUUCUAUGUAAUAUGGUCCUUGUUCCAUGCAGUGUUUGGUUGAAUUGUAUGCAUUAUUUUCCCAAUUUUAUUAUAAAUAUUGAUUGACUAUUAUUAAAUCAAAAAUAAUAAUAAUAAAAAAGCACUGUACUUUAUUGGCCCUUGAAAUUAAAUUUCUUUAGUUACUGAUCUGUAUACAAGAAGAAACAACAACAAUUCAAAAGCCAUCUGAAGAAGCUUUUAUCAUUUGUUAGUGGACUAGUGAACUGUUUCUGGAAAUGCUCAAUCAAUUCAUCCUCUCAACCUUCAGAUUGCAUAUGCAAUUGUUGUUGACAUUUUUUUUUUUCAGAUCUUUAGGAUUAUCUGUUUGUAAUUUUAAUUACUUAUGUAUAAAAUAUGUUGUCCUUAGUAUUGAAUUACACUAACAAAAACCUAAAGCAAACAAAAAAAGGGGAAACAAAUAUAUAUAUCAAAAGAUUUCAUAAGUUUGUUUUAAAUUGGUCAUGAACAAGAGAAUUUGAUUUUAUUUGUUUAAGUUUAGUUACUGCAUGCUUCUGUGUUAUUAUCAUCUGCUUAGGGAUGCCCACAUGAUAAUACCAUUGGUAGCGUUGGACUACUAUUACGUGAUUAAUUUUUCGUGUAGUCGGAACUAAUGGAAGGCAUCAAAUAUGAAAUUAAGACGAUAGUCUUAUGAGUUGGUCCUAUCUUAGGAUUAUAAUGUACCCUUGAGGAAUUGCUUAAUUAUAAAACAUUUGAUGGGAUUAACAUGAUUUAUGAAAAUAUAAAGAUUUUUGAGGACUAAGUCUUCUUGGUCCGUUGCCAUUACCCACAGGCCCUAGCUGUGCCGCUCCUCAAAAAUCCAAGCACAAAUCGUAGCCACCACCACCACAAACCUUUGCCGCCGCAGCCACGACACCAAACCCUAGCAGCCACCGCAUAAAACCCUAGCGAAGGCUGGACUGCUAGCCCUUGAAUAUGGGAUUAAUUUUUGGUGUAGUCAUUUCUAAUUGAAGGCAUCAAACAUGAUAUUAUGAGUUUAUGACAACAGUGUUGUGAAUUAGUCCUAUCUUAGGAUUAUAAACUAGCUUUGCGGAACUGCUGAAUUAUAGAACUGUAAUGAGAUUGCGCAUGAUAUUUUGAGGACUUAGUCUUCUUGGUUGUCAAAAGUAUUUUAAUUCUUUGAACCUGUGAUUAACAUUUCAUAGUGAUGUUCUUUCUUUCUUUCUCUUUCUUUCCGUUGCAACUAUUGUGUACAUACCAUGUAUAAUAUUUUCCUCCCUUUUCUUUCUUGUUAUUAUCUUUAAAACAUUAUCUUUUGAAAGAAUGACACUCAUCCCUUGUAGAGUUUUUUUCACAACUUGGGUCCCUUCGAAAUUUUUAAUUUCCAUUUUGUCCCUUGCAUUAAAAUAUGAAAGGAAAAGUACAAUAUUAAACGGUAAGUUUGACCUUUUAUAUUAGAUUUUAAUUUGUACAAAUCAAAUUUUGAUCUAACAUCAAUUUGUAUGUUAAAAUACACAUUUAGCCUUCAAUAGUGUUCUUUUUUCAUUUACAUUUUAAUGCUGCGGACGAAGUGAAAAUAUAAAAAAUUUAUUGGGGACCAAGUGGUAAAACUACUGUUUUCCUUUUUUUUUUUAAGAGAUGAAAUAUGUCACGCUUCCUUAUUUUGUUUUAUAAAAUAAAACAUAUUACUUUUUACUUUUUUCGUAAUCACUGAAUAUUGAGCUGUUUGUAAGUUGAUCUUAGCUCUUUGAUUAGAGUUUGAUUCAAAUUUGAGGACUUAUGUGACUUUGGGUAGCUAAUUUGCCAGUUAAAAUAUUUAUAUUUUUUUCUCUCUUUUCUUUUUUUUUUUAAAUUUAUUUCAUGUUUAUAUAAUAUUGUGUUGCAGGAUUCAGACGCUGACUCUGAGGUAUUUGACCUUUUAGAUCCAUCAUCAUCUAACAAAAUUGUUGGCAAGAUUUCUCUAUCAUGUUCUGUUGAGGUAAGUAUAUUAUUAUUCAAUUGAUUGAGCCCAGCUGGAUUAAUGAAUCUUAACAUUCUUUUGAAAUCAUUGGUAGGAUCCAAUUGAAACAGAGAAAAGUUUUGCAAGACGCAUAUUAUCAAUUGUGGUAUGUUUUAAAUGUUCAUUCAUCUUCUUUUCUAAUUCUCACGCCAACUAAUUAUCUUGCUAUUUGUGUGUUUUUUGGAUAGUAAUUUAAUUAUGUUCUUGGGGCGUUCAUAGAAUAGUUUCUUUGAAGCACAAGUUUGGGUUUAACUAAAACCAAGAACUUUGAUUUUAGUUGUUUGGAAUUUAGUUAGACGAUAAUAAUUAAUUACGAGCUUAUGUAUAAUUGCGGGUGUCUAGUCCCAAAAUUUUCACACUUACCAAACUUUUGUAAUGGGAGAACUUAUACCCCGUUUGGGAGUGUGGUGAGGUAGCCCAGCUACUAAGGUGUUUGGUAACACUUGUAGCUGAGCUUUGACAACUUAGCCAAUUUUUUUUUCCAACUUAUACUCUACAGCUGUGGCUUUUAUUCCACAGCUGCUGCAGCUUAAAAAGUACAGCACUUCACUUCCAAACACACCCUUAAUGGGGCUGGAUUAUUUUGUCAAAUUUUGGUUCAAUCUUUGUUUUGGUACAUGCAAAACUAUAGCUUAUCCUGGCUUUAUCCAAUUUAGCAAGGUAAACUAAAGCCUUUGGGAUAAUAUAGAAUAAUUUUUUUAUUGAAAAAAAAAAAUCUUAUGUUUUGUUUCAUAUAUUAAAAUUUAGUAUAUUAUGAUCUUAAUUUAUAUUUAAAUAUCUAGUUAGUUUUAUUAUGUUAUGUUAUUUAACUAAUAAUGUGAAGAGUAAGUUUACAAUAGAGGAAUCCCUUUCUUUAAUAAAAUAAGGGACAAAACUAAAAGACGAAAAAAUAUUUCAAUACACAACAGGACAAAUACGCUGCUUUGAUUUGUGUUUUUUAAUCUUUUAGCUUGUCCCUUACUUUAUUAAAGGGAUUCCCUUCUUUUAAAAUUACUCAUAAUGUGAUAGUUUAUAAUAUUUAUAUUUAUUACCUUUGUUUAAAUAAAGGUUGGGGGUGAGCAAGGCCAAAUAUAAUUUUAACCCUUACCUGGCCUAAAAGUUGAACUCGGGUGGCUAGCCAAAUAAUAAAUUUAUUAUAAAUAUUUUAUAGAUGGGUUAAUGCUAUUCUAAUGUAAAAUUUUGCAAAAUAUUCUCAUCCAUUGAUCUUGUUAAAUCCAACAGUUGAAAAUAGAAACAAUAAAUGCUAUUUUUUGACUUUGAAAAUUUAUAUUGCACAAGAUCAAUGGAUGAGAAUUUUUUAAAAAGUUUUUGAGUAAAAUUUAAGUUGGCAUAGCUUGAUCCAGAUAAAUAUUAUAUUAUGAAAUUGAAAUUUAAUUAUUGAGUUAGUGCCUUUAUGUUAUUUUACAUAGAUAAUAACAUAUACAGUAUAUUUGAUUGUUCACCCAAAUAAAUCGACAUUCGUUACUCUAACAUCAUCCAUUAGUUUUUUCCAUUACAUUUAACCGUCAACCACUUUGACCAUAUAAAUACUUAGUCAUACCCUUAGUUUAUAUGAUUAAAGGACCAAAAUACCCAUUUUAACUUAAAAUGACUAAAAUGUCCAUCGACAUACUUUAAUUUCCAUUUUUUAUUCUUUAAUUUAUCUCUCUUCCGUUCCCUCUCUCUCAUUUUUCCCCAUUUUAAUUCAUCUUCUUAGUUGCCAAACACCUAUGAACACAAGGUUGGUCAUAUUCAAGGUGAUUUCAGUGAGUUCUGUGAUUCUUAGUCCUAGUCUGUAUUUGGCUCUCAAAGCAUGUGCAGUAGUGGAGUGCUACUCUGUUUAACAACUAAGAUAAUGAAGAAACGUAGGAAAAUUUUGAGAGGGGAAAGGAAGAGAGAGAAAAUAAAAGGGUAAAAAUGGAAAUUGAAGUUAUUGUGAUGGAUAUUUCAGUCAUCUCGCAACUAACGGUGUAAUUGUAUUUUCAUAUGGUAGUGGUAAACAGUUAAGUUUAAUGGAAAAUUUAACAGAUGGGGGGUGAAGUAAUGCCUUUUUGAAAUACUGAGGUCGAGUAGCAAAUGUCUUUUUUUUUGGAUAUGUAGUCAAAUUUACCCUAAUAAAAAUAAGUUGAUAAUAAAAAUUCAAUUUAACAAUAACAGUUUUUUCAUUUAAAAACCAUAUUGAAAUCAUGUUUACUAUUUGUUUAAAAAACAUUUUGCUUUCCUUUGUAUAUAUAAUUUCCAUGAAUAAUGGUUAUACAAUAAGUUCCAAGUUUCUUACAUGCCAUCCCAUUGCUUAGGCUUUAAUUGAGGACUUAAUACUGCUAACCAAUGUAUUUGUUUGGAAGAAUUGAGACUCUCUACUGUUUUUCUAUUACUGGAGUAUAGCUUAAUGUUCAUAGCGUCCUGGCUUUUUCCUUUUCAAAUAAAAUUUCCGAAUCUUAUUCAUACGUACUUUAAAUUCCAGUAAGGACCUAAUUCUGAAUGUGAAUAUCUAUAUUGUUCAUUUGGAGAUUUUAUUUUUAAUACUAAUUUCUGGAUAGUAUUCGUGAUUAUUGUUUUAUUCACCUUCUUGCCUUCUGUGAUAUAGUCAACCUUUUAAGUUUUUGGGAACCUUCAUAGGAUUACAAUCAGGAUGGACAGCUUUCGUUCAAAGAGUUUUCUGACUUAAUUAGUGCUUUUGGCAAUCAAGUGGCUGCUAAUAAGGUUUGAACUUUGCUUUACUAUUUGUUUUAUUUGACAGUGCAACCACCUUUUUGGUAUGAUCUGUUUGAAUAGUUACAAAUGUAUUUUGUCAAAUAUUUGCUUAGUCUACCAUCUGAUUUUCUACUAAAGUGUUUGGAUAGUGGGAUUCAACUUUCAAGAUAUUGUUAGGUUUCCAAAAUACUCCCAAACCUGUUUUUACAUCACACAUGGAAAUUUGAAUUAUAUGUGUUGGAUUUUGUCUACUUCCUAUUUUUGAAACAUGCUUCCGUAUGGUGGAUCUUGAUUGUGUAAGAUCCUGUUCUUGUUCUAAUUUUGCAUUCAAAAAUGCUUUUCUUAGAAAGAGGAACUUUUCAAAGCCGCUGACAAAAAUGGAGAUGGGGUUGUGAGCGUUGAUGAGUUAGCUGCCCUUCUUGCUCUUCAACAAGAAAAGUAAUGAUUCUAUAAUUGCAUCAGCAUCAAUUUGAGUUAACAUUCUAUCUUUUCUUAGUCAAAAUAAACAAUGCCACCCAUGUAAAUGUCCUUGUGGAAUAUGACUUUUAAUAUCCUAUGUGGAACCUGCGAAGAGAAAUAUGUUUUGAUAAAUGUCCUAUGUUUGAACAUUUAACAUAUAUUUUUAUAUAUUCUUAAUAUCAUCUUGUCUUUUUCUGAUAAAUUAUAUGCUAAGUCUUCAAUGAGGUGAACCUAAUGAUUGUUUCAAUGCCUAAUUGUGUAUGGCUGAGCACUUUACAGGCUGAAGUUUAUCACCUGUAUUCUCCAUCAUCACUGUGCUUUAUUAACACUGAUUGCUUCUAACUUUCUGCUACUGAUUCCUUCUGAUCUGAGUCUCUGUACUCCACGUGACGUUUGUGAAACCAAAGCAGCUGUUUGUGUCCUGGUCCAAGCAUGACAAGCUUAACAUCUCAUACUUCAAUCUCCAGUGGGAUGUCGGUUCUCUCUUUCUCGCUGGAGCUGUUUCAACUGAUGCCAGGAACUAUAUAAAAAAUCUGUUUGGAGGUUUCUUUCAGCAAUAAAUGGAAUUAAGGAUAUUGUAUUUUUUUAAAAGAAUGAGCUUCAUGACCAUAACUGAAGUUACUUAAUUUUUAUUCAUUUGUUAACUUCUGGUGUUCCUCUUUGUUGACUAACCAUUUCCUUCUUAAGCUUAAGCUGAUGACCCCUUACGUUACUGGGAUUCAAACAGAGACAACAUAUGAUUAUAAACACACAUUGACUUUUGUGUUAUAAUUUAACUAUUAGUGUUAGUGGUUUCAAGAACAUGAACUAUUGGUCAACCUGGCGUAGAUAUCAUGUCAAGUAAUUAUUAAUUCCCAGAGCUUAAGGUGAUAGGAAAAUGCCCAACAAUAAUUUUACACAGUUAAAGCUAUUUUAUGGUUCUUCACCACAGGGUUUUGUAUUCUUCUUCUGCUUGAAAUUUUUUUUUACUACUCAUAAUAAAAUUCUUUUCUUCUUGACCCUAUACUAUCAAUCAAUAUUCUUAAUAUUCUGUGUUUGAUAUUCAUGUAUUUCAGGGAACCCCUCAUGAAUUGCUGUCCUGUUUGUGGUGAGACUCUUGAAGUUGCUGACAUGGUGAAUACUAUGAUUCAUUUGACUCUGUGUUUUGACGAGGGAACUGGAAACCAGGUUAUGACUGGAGGAUUCUUGACUGAUAAACAAGCUUCAAAUGUGUGAGAACACUUCUACUGUUGCAUGCACACUAUCUCUUGAACUUUUUUCUACUUUUUCAGUGUGGCUGUUGUAUUUUUAUGUUAUUUUAAAUUGCUAAAUUCAACUUACAUUUUGCUAGCUGGAUGUUUAAACUAAGUGAAUGGGGCCAUUUUUCAUCUUAUGAUAUUGGCUUAAACUCUGGUUCAAGAGCUCAUAUUCUGGUAUGUUUCCUUUGUUGUAUUUUCUAAUCAAUUUCUUUUUCCAACUUAUUUGUUGGGGGAUUCUGUACAUUGUUCAUGUCAUUGGAUGCAAUGCUUUGUCGUUUGAACUUGGAUUUCAUUCACAACAUGGUCUCAGUUGAUAGCUUAUUUAUUUAGGUUUUUGAUCGGAGGACAAAAAGGCUGGUGGAAGAAUUGAUUGAUGUUAAGAUUGUUAUGUCAAUGAGAGCGAUUUACCAAUCAAAAAUAGGGCUUGGCCUCAUGGACAUAGGUAUGUGGUACUAUCUGUUACAUGCUAUGAUUCUUGUCAUAUGUAUUUCCCCACUCUGAAGAUCUUGUGGUUUAGUUUUCAAGAGAUAGUGUCCAGGUUAAACUAAGUGUGGGGACUGGUAAGGAUAUUCAGUUUUGGGAGGAUAAAUGGUUCGGAGAUUUUUCUUUGUGAGUGUUUCCCUCGCCUCUAUAGGUCUGUCCCACAAGAAAUUCUCCUAUAAAUUUUUUGCACAUCUUCUUCCUCUUUGUUGAAUUAGCAUUGGAAUUUCAACUUCAACAGAAAGAUUCAGGAUUAUGCUUCUCUCUUGAUGUUGUUAAACAAUGUCGAUAUCGAUGAAAUGAAAGAAGACAGAGGAUUGUGGACUUUGGAGACAUCAGACAUUAUUCCUGCAAAACUUAUCUUGACUGACUGAUUAAUAAUGUCUCCUAGGCUGAUUUCUUACCCUCCAAAUUGAUCUGGAAGGCUAGUAUUCCUCCUAAAAUUCAAGUCUUUUUGUGUGCCUUGGCUCAAGGAAAAUUAAAUUCUGGGGAAGUGAUUCAAAGAAAGUUCCCUAAUAUGUGUCUAUCUCCAUCUUGGUGUGUGAUGUGCAAAACAAAUGCAGAACAAGCUAACCUGAAUUGUCACCUCCUUGUUGAAAGCUCAGUUGGUGGCUAGAGCGUACAAUCAAUCUUAUGGAGUUGACUAUCUCGAUAUUUUUCUCUAGUGGCUUGAAUAAAUUCUAUUCAAUUUCUUAUACCAUAGGUAGUCCACGAUUGGCUUUUAUUUCAACUUGAUGCAAAAAAAUGCCUUCUUUAAUGCUAUUUGGUGGAAGGGUGUGGGGCAAUCCUUAGGUUUUGUUCCUCAGGCAGGUUUGAUGUACAGGGCCUCAAGCGGGGCAGAAUAACUAGCGGCUCCCUUUCAGGCUAAUUUCCACCUUCCUUCCUUUUCCCCCUAAUACCCAAUUAUCCCCUACUGUCAUAGUUGUAAUGGUAAGGGUUAAUGGAGUAUAAUAAAAAUAUGAGGAAGUGGUAAUUAGCCCAAAAAGUAUCCCUCAAACCAUCAUGGAGGGUCUGCUUUAAGAAACUAAGCAGACUUAUACUGUCUUUUGGACUUGGAAUACGUCAGUUUGAUCAUUUUGUCUUUCUGAAACAUAUUCCUGUGGUAAUGGUUGCUCUUGUAGUUUACAUUCGUAGUAUCAUUGUACAUCAUAACACUGAUUUGUUGGUAUUGAUGUAAAAAGCCAAUUUCCCAUGGACAUCUUCUUCCCCUUUGCUCUUUCUCUCCCCCCUCUCUCCACCCCCGUCCCCCAAUGCCAACCCACAAAAACUACUCAAAUGAGUAUUUGUGAAUUUUUUGUAGUAGGUACCAUUUACCUUUGUUCUUGGAUCAUGGCCAAUAUCAUGCACGGUCUUGCAUUAUUUUUUAUUUCUUUGGUUUUUUUAUGGGCCAUGUGGAUGCAGGGACAAAGGAACUGUUGAAGAGCAUCUCUGAAAAGCAAGGAAGGAAAAUGAAUUCAGUUGAAUCAUCUAAAGAAAUCCCAAAGUUUGUAAACUUCUUUAAGGUAUGAUGAUUUCUUUUAGAACACUGUGUAACUUUGCUUUCGUAAUUAUGGCUUUCAUAAUUGUCUUGCUUGGAGUGUUCUCCAUUAUGGUAAUUGAGUUUUGCAUAAGUUUCUAAAGUAUGGGGCCAUUCUUGGUACAGUUUCGACUAGUUUUUCCUUCUCUUGCAUAAAGCUGCAGAUGUACUCAAGCAGUCUGGUUCUGAAAAUAUUUGUCAAGCUAAGUUGAUAAUAUAUGGAUCUGAUUUGAUUUCAAAGGUUUCAGAUGCUUAGCCCUUUUUGGUAUCUGUUUCUUUUAAAUAAACACAUAGUGGUCUUUGUAUUAUACAUUUUCUUUUAAAAUAUACAAUAGCUAGGUUUUACUCUAAUUUAUUGUUGCAGAUUUGUACUCUGUUUAUGUAUUGCCAAAAAAAGGGAAAAAAAAAGAAGAGAUUUUUAAUUGAACUAUUCGAGGGUUCAUUUGAACUCUUUCUUAUUUCAAAAAUGUUGUAAAGAUAAGUCUGAUGUUUUAAAUCUAUCAUUUGAACUUAACAAUGCAAUAUUUGAUGAAUUCUUUAAAAGAAUUUUCUUGUGCCAGGUAAUGGUUGCUCGCUAGUCAGUAUCUCUAUUUGUUAGCCGUAUGAAUCAGGUUUAAUCACAAACAUCCCAUGUAACUCAUAUUUCUUUUUCAAAUUUUUUCACUUUUUUAUGUUUUUUGGGCCAUAAUGAGGAAAAAAGAAUUUGUGGUUAAGAACUGUUUUUUGGAAAGAUGUCGUUGAAUUGCUCAUCAAUCGUAGCCUUGAGUGAUCUGACCUCUGCUUCCAAUUUUUCUUCAAGCGCGUCCACUUUCUUCGCUGCCAUUGUCUCAGGAUUCUUGCUCUGAUACCACUUUGAUAGGACUUAGGGCUAAAUUAGGGCUAACUUUUAUUGAUUAAAUCAAAAGAAACAAACAAUCAAUCCUGACCUACAAUUCGAGAGGUAGGUCAAUCUCUCCCAAAACUCCUAAUGGUUCCUAAUACCAGACAAAACUCAACAUAAACCCUAAAUGACUUCAUAAUUUAGGUCAAUCUCUCCCAAAACUCCUAAUGGUUCCUAAUACCAGACAAAACUCAACAUAAACCCUAAAUGACUCCAUAAUCUCUUAUUUAUAGCUAAACCCUAAUUAAUAAUAAAGUUACUAAAUUGCCCCUGCCCCUAAAAUUACUAAACAGCCCCUGCCCCUUUAUAUUUGCGCCUAACAUAAGUUUUCAUGGACCUAACAUGACUCCCCUCCCAAAAAGACACCUUGUCCUCAAGGUGAAAUCUAGAAAACUGUUGCCUCUUCUUCCUCGCCUUCUUCCUCGUCACACACAGUCAGGACUUGUAGUGAUUUAUCCUUACAUCGAUGCCCUGGUGAAAAUUUCUCAUCACAUGGAAAACACACCCCCUUCGCCCUCUUAUCCUGAACCUCUGUCUCUGUGAGGCGUUUGAAAGUCACCCCUAGUCGUGCCCCACUAACCCGAUCCCUUUGGGAAUCUCUCUGUAAACCCAUCAUUUGCAUUUUCUGGCCUCCCGAUGGUGUAUUUUGGAACUCUCGCUGAAACCCCAAAGUCUGAGUUUUCUGUCCUACCAAUGGUGUGUUAUUUCGAUAUGAAAAAUCGACUGAACUGCUCCUAUUAAUCCGUUCUAUUGUGUUAUCCUCAAUCAUCUGUGCCAACUCCAUUGACUCCCCUAACCCUCUCGGCCUUAGCAAGCGUAGCGAGGCUCGGAUUUCUAGCUUCAGUCCCUUCAUAAAAUUCCCUUCCAACACCGCCUCUGGAAGCCCCCCUAGACGCCCUGAUAGCAACUCAAACUUCUCCCUAUACUCCAUAACCGUUCUCUCCUGGAUCAGAGCAAAAAACUGUUCAUGCAAAUCUCCCUCUUGAGUGGCCUAAAACCUCUCCAACAGCCGAUCCUUAAAUUCACCCCACGACCUCAUUGGUUGUCAUUGUUCUCGCCAUUGAAACCACGCAAGGGCCUUUCCCUCCAAGCAUAACGCCGCCGCCAUCAAUUUUUCCCUUUCUGAGAGUCCAUUAAUGGCGAAAUAGCGCUCUGCCCUAUACACCCAUCCAUAGGCAUCCUCGCCUUCAAAAAUAGGCAUUUUCAGUUUCCUUACCCUAGAAUCUACUCCAAAUUGAGUCUGACCCGCCCAAUUUCGUGCCAUCGGAGGUCUCCAACCUCCCCAGUCUACUCCAGUGUCUGCAAAUCCUAAAGAUCCAGCCCAAAAUUCUCCUUGCCCAGCACCAUAGUGGGCUGGAUUCCCUUGCCCAGCCGUAUUUCGGCCAUAACCGCUCCCUUUCUCACCAGAAAUCCCUCCUCCUGGCCUACCGCCCCCAAAUCCAACCUGUUCAGACCCAAGUCCUCCCUGCUCGGGCCCAAAUUCAGCCUGUCCAUAAUGAAUGAUUGAAAAGAGUUUUUAUUAUGUCUGCUGUACCGUACAUCCGCCUUGGCCGUACAGCAGGUGGGCUGGAUUCCCUUGCCCAGCCGUAUUUCGACCAUAACCGCUCCCUUUCUCACCAGAAAUCCCUCCUCCUGGCCUACCGCCCCCAAAUCCAACCUGUUCAGACCCAAAUCCUCCCUGCUCGGGCCCAAAUUCAGCCUGUCCAGGUUGUGCCUCACCCCCAAACGCCCCCGAGUCGCCUAGCCCGGUCACUCUGAUUUCUGUGCCGUCGCCUACCACGGGUUUUGUAACCCCGGAUCCUUCUCCUGCCACACCGCCAUGGCCCCUCGAUGCUGCCAGAGGAGGGUUGAGGUGGAGUUCCGUCAAUUUCAACAGCAUGGCUUCAAGAGAUGAAAAUUGUUGUUGAACGGUGUUGAAUCGCUCAUCAAUCGUAGCCUUGAGUGAUCUGACCUCUGCUUCCAAUUUUUCUUCAAGCGCGUCCACCUUCUUCGUUGCCAUUGUCUCAGGAUUCUUGACAAAACUCAACAUAAACCCUAAAUGACUCCAUAAUCUCUUAUUUAUAGCUAAACCCUAAUUAAUAAUAAAGUUACUAAAUUGCCCCUGCCCCUAAAAUUACUAAACAGCCCCUGCCCCUUUAUAUUUGCGCCUAACAUAAGUUUUCAUGGACCUAACAGUCAACUUAAGUGCCAUUCAAUUUUAAAUUGUAAGAAUGCAAGUUACUGUAGUUGAAUUAUUCUCCACCUUUUCCUUAGAAGAUCGUAUUCUUCCUUCUGUUGCUUCUGCCUUGAUGUUUGUUGUACUCAUUGUAGUUUUUAGAAAGUUUCUGAAACUUUAAACAAGUAGAACUUACAAGCAUAGAUAAUGAAUUUAAGUUGUCAACACUUGUACAUUUUUAUACAAUCAUUUUCCCAAUACUGGGUAAGUGUAUCUGUGAAGAAGAAUUGAGAAAAUUUACUUCACUGAGGAAGAUUAAAAUUGUUGAUAAAUGAAGUGCUUGUUCUUUUUUCAUAUAUUGAUGAGAAACAUAUGGAAUAAAAAUAUAGAGCUGAAUCCCCGAAUAAAAAAGGGAAAAUAAGGUAAAAAAUCUCUUCAGCCAAUUCGGAAAAUUCGAAGAAACGAACUUGUUUACUAUUUUGUUCCGUCUAAAAUUAAAAUAUUAAUGUACUUAAUGUGUAUAAUAGUCCCUAUUUCAACAAUUGCCUAGGUCAAUAUGAUAUAAAUAGAAAGAAUGAAGACAAGCAGAUUAUUACUUGAACAACUAGGUCAUCUCUUCAUGUAUUUAGCUCUCGGAUAUUUUGGCAUCAUAAAUUCUGGGCCUUCUUAGAUCAUCCUUCUUGUAUCAUAGCUUGUGCAUGCUGCAAGUUUCUUCAAAAAUACUUUCUUCUUUAUAAAAGGAUGUGGAGGAUUUAGAAAUUUGAAGAUAUUUCAGAGUUAGUGGAGUUUACAAUAUUUCAGUUAAAAGCUUUAAAUAUAUAAGUAAUAUCCUCCCAUCAUUUAUAGAAUAAUUUUAUUAUUCUACUUUAUUUUAAGAUAAUGUAAAUGUGUAGUAUUUUUGUAAGUACUUGUGUGCAUGAUUGCUGAACCACGUGAUGAAUUCUUCAAUCCCAGUUCCUUUUCAAAAGCGUUCGGUUUAAGGUGGCCUUUAAUUUUACACAAGUUAAGUUAAUCACUGUCACUGUUGGAAAAUAUGGUUGAUUGUCUUCUUGUUUAUGAAUAACAGUUGUGUAGAUCAAACAUACUCUGCAGUAACUAGGGAGUUCCGGACCUUCCGGAAAAAGAAUUCUUAACUGGGAUGGGAUUUUUGGUUUAUUUGUAUGCUCUGUUUUGCAUUUUUCCUUUUGCAAUUGUUUUUUUUUUACGCCAUUUGGCAGUUCUCUUUUUUCCUUGAUUUGCAGCGGGUUUUGGGUCUUUGCUUUUUGUAAUUAGUCAUGGAUACUUGAUGCAAAAAUAGAUGUAGUUGUUUAGAUGUUGCCAGCCACUAUGGACCGCCAGUGCUCUGCAGUUGUUUUCUCUUUCAAGACAUUACUCUUUUUUCUUUUUCCCCCCCAAUCUUGUUAAAAAAUAAUGUUUAUAGCUUGAUUAUAUUGUUGUCUUCCUCCCAUAAACGUUUACCCAUCCUUGAAUUGUAUAUGGAUUAUUAUAAGACCCGAUCAAUAAAAUACAUGCGAUGUCUCUUGAAUUCCUUAAAUAUGAAAUGUUGGAUAAUUACUAUUGUUGUUGUUUUUAUUUUUAAUUUUUUAAUUUUUUGGUUUUUCCUUUUUUUACCUUUGUGAUGCCUUUAUUUCUGAAGUAUGAGAACUUAUACACACUUUCUGUGUAUGUGUAAUAUAAUUUGUUGUUGUAGGAUCAAAUCAACUUGGCUGAUGUCAAGUACCCUUUGGAACAUUUUAAGGUAUGUUAGGAAAUCCUAAUAGAUCUGUUCAAUUUUAUGAAUGCACAAAUUUAUUUCCCCUAGUAUUCUUUGUUUCCCGCCACGUUGAUUUCUAUUCUGGAAUCAUUUCACACUGUUUAAUUUUGGAAGCACAUACUGUUAUGGCAAGAGUCUAUAAUAGCGGUAUCUCAUGAAUAUUAGAUUAUGUUUAUCCAUAAGGUUUGUAUUUAUGGGUGGUUCAGGUCUCUACCAAUUCUUUUGAUAGAUUGCUCAUUUAUCAAUUUUUUGCAAAACUGCAGUUUUAUUUGAACAUGUGACUUCACAAAUUCCGCAAUCAAUAUUUCCCUGUCCUCGUUGACUCUUCAACUGCCUGUAAUUAUUGGGAAUGUUGAAAUAAAGAUUGAUUUUUUUUUUUUUUUUUGAGUUUUGCUUCUGAAAGUGAAUUUAGAAGAGCAGCCGAAACCUAAAUUUAAGGCAUUUUGAGUUAGUUUGCCCUCCUCCAUAACGUUAUAGCUCUUUAAUUGGAGGGCACACGCUUUUCCAUGGAUUUUGCACUUCUCAUCAGCUUACCCCUAUGGGUGCACACAAACUAAAACUUUCUGAGUUAUUCAUGCUUGGCUUGCUGCAAAAGUGCGGUUCAGCUCGUUUUACUUACACACUGAACUGUAAUCCGGUUUAUCCUGAGCCUAUGUAAUUAAUUGAGCUUUAAGUCAGUACAAUUUGGCACUGCUUUAGGAAAGCUCAAUAGUUCUAUUACCCUGCAUACAUACUUUGUAGAUAUUAGAAAACAUUUUUGUAUUUUGAUGUUAAAUUAUUGUAUUCAAACUCUCACGAAGGUUCGACAUCUUAUUGACCAUCUCAAUUGGCCCUAUGUUUUCUCUAAUCUUUUCCAACCUUGAGAGUCAAAAAGUAUAGACCAAUCUUCAAUUACUCAAAUAUGGAAAAUAAGAAGUUGGAAAAUGUUAUUUCAUGUUUGAUAGAAUUUUACUUUAUGCACUUAAGUUUCAUUAGAAAUACCAUUAUUCUGUUUCUUAUAAAAAAUGUGUAAAAUGAAUAAUUAUGAAAAGAACCCCCCAUGUCUCUGGAUAAAUCCUUGGCUGUGAUCGAUGAAAAUUGCAAUUAGUCUAGAAACUAAAUCUUGUCCGUUGUAUUUAGAUGACUUCUUGGUAUAUAAUGCUCAUGACAGCAUAAAUUUUGGACUGGCUCUGGAUGCAGACAUUUAAUGAAUUCUUCAUUAGAGAGUUAAAACCGGGUGCAAGACCAAUUGAUUGCAUGGAACGUGAAGAGGUUGCUGUAUGUGCAGCUGAUAGUCGUCUGAUGGCUUUUAAAUCGGUUGAAGACAGCCUUAGAUUUUGGAUCAAGGUACAUAGGCACUUAGAUGUGUUUCUAAGAAGGCUUAAAAUUUUUUAAACAUUAUACAAUGAGUACUAUUAACAAAAAUACAAGACAUACAAACUCUUGUACAGAUUGACAUGGCAUGUUAUAUGAUUGCCACAUGUACCAAACCUUGAAAACGUGGGAAAUGUGGUAAUGAUUUUUAUCAUUACCACAUCAAUUUGUACAAACAGAGUUUAUAAAAGAAUUGUUAGGUGUAGCAUUACUCUGCUUUAUAUAUAUUCACUUUAUUUCUUAUGUUAAUUGGGUGAUCUGAGAUAAUUCAAGAAAAUAUAUGUACUGGAUGAGAAUUUUUUUUUUUAAUUUCUAUAAUUAUCUUAACAUAAAUUAUGCAAAACAGAAACUAUUUUUCAUAAACUAUUCUAUCAUAAAUGCACAUUAUACCUUAAAUUUCUAAUAUAGUCAUUGUGCACACACUUGCAAAGCACACAACAUUUCAAAGAAUAUGGUUUAUCAACUGCCUAACUAGUUUUCCUUAUUGCUGAUUACUCUUUUAGCAUACUUAAACAGUGAUUAUCUGAAAUGUCACAACAGUACCAAAUUUGCGCGAGUCAUCUUUAGGUUCAACUUUAAUGCGAAAUAAUCUGGAUUCUAUUCUGGCUUUAUUAUUUUGAAUAUUAGAAGGUUGUUAUUCUAAAAUAAUGAACUUAACGAUUACCAUGUAACUUAAUUGUAAAAAGUUACUCUCCCUAGAAUCGGAUCACAACUUAUCUAGUAUGUGGAUUUACCUUUUCAACUUUCCAAUCACUUUUUUGAACUCCAAAUUCCAAAGUUGCAAUAAUAAUAUAUUUUUGCGAUCUUUUUUCCUUUGUAGGGUCAAAAGUUUUCAAUUCAAGGUCUUUUGGGAAAUGACAUAUGUUCCAAUUCUUUUUUAAAUGGAACUAUGGUGAUUUUUCGGUUGGCGCCACAGGUAUUUUUGAUAAGCUCCCUUGCAGUAGCUUGCAAUACAAAGUAACUAUUUGGGUUAAAAUUUUCAUGAUAUUUUUCUAGGAUUAUCAUCGUUUUCAUCUUCCGGUGUCGGGAAUCAUUGAGCAAUUUGUGGAUAUACCUGGAUGCCUAUACACUGUACGUGAGUAAAUUCAAUUUACAGGGAUCAUGAUAGCUUAUCUAUAAUCUUCUUUUCCUUUUUCAUUUUCCCCUGAUUUCCACCUGAUACCUUAUUGCUUAGGUUAAUCCCAUUGCUGUUAAUAGCAAAUAUUGCAAUGUUUUUACGGAGAACAAGCGUGUUGUAUCAAUUAUUUCGACUGCACAUUUCGGAAAGGUCUGUCAUUACUCUCGCUCUCACUCUCACUCUCACUCUCGUUUUGGAUUAUUAUUAUGCUGAUUUGAUAUUUCAUUCAUUCACCUUUUUCUGUUCUUUUUUUUUUUUUUUCAAAUUUGAUACAAAUGCUAGUCCCUAGAAUCAAUAAGGAUUUCAUAGACUCUUUGGUAUGUCCAUGAUGAAGGCUUUGGUUAAUGACAUUUUUGUACGAGUAAUACUGGGGAUCCCAAUAAUUGAGUUCCCACAGAUGUGGCAUUCAAUUAAUAGAUGGCAGAAUAUUAAUUUUACCAAUUAUGAAAUUCAUUAUCCAAUAAAUGAAUGACACAACAAUUGGGACUCAACUGUUGGGAUCCAUAAUAUUAUUGUUAUUGUACCAGUAUCUUUUUACGUCUUUUAACUUGAGCUAAUUUUCCAUGUGUGAGAGUCUCCUGGCAAAAGAUUCACGUACCAAAUUAUUGUUAAUUUUUGGCAUUUCUCAUAUUUCAAAAAUAUAGAUGGCUGUCAAUCUAUUUUAAAAAUUUAUCCUUGAGUUUGGUAUUUUAUCAGUGUGAUAUCACAGUUCCUGCACUCGAUGGCCGUUAUAGUUGACAUCCACUGCAUUUGACCAUCUGUUUGUGCAAAACUUGUCAUUAUUUAUAGAUUAAGAUUUUUUGUUGAUUUCAAAAUUUUCACAUCAGGCAUUGCAAUUAUUGGGAGAACAAUGAUGUUAGUUGAGUAAUAUCACCAAAGAGAAAAAAGACAGGCUGAAAAUUGUUGUAUCCAUGACUCAUAAAGUACAAGAAAUCUAUAGGACUAGAACAUUAUUUUGAUGAUAUAAAAGUAUAGUGAAUGAGAGCAACUAGUGAUAUCCUUUGUUUCAUAAUUUGGCUUUAUACUAAAGUGGGAGCAUAGAUUUUUGGAAUACCUAACUUGGAAUCAGGAUAUAUAAUGGUUCUUUUGUGCACAACACUGAUAAGAAUGUCUUGACUUGGAUCUUCUGAUGUGGUAUAAGGUGUAACGCUAGUGAAUAGUAUACGGACUCUAAAUAUUAUACUCCUCUCUGUUGUUAAGUUGCCACAAGGUAGGCCAAUUGCCAAAGGAUAUAAAGACUGAAAAAUUUUAAGAUAAUCAACUCCAUAAGUUUUUGAGUGUAUCCUUCAGCUACUAGUCGGACCUUUAGCCUGUCCAUAGUGCCAUUUUCAAAAGACCUAGAUUUGUGUAAAAAGUUCAAUAGAAGUUCCAUAGACUUAAGAGGCUGUUUUGGGUUAAUCUAAUUUUACUUCAACAGUCCUCUUCAUUCUGUUUGGUAUCAGAUCAAUUGAAAGAAGGCUAGAACAAACAGUUUUUGACCGAAUGUUAGAACCAAGUAAAUUUUGGUUGUUUUUACAUGUUCUUACUUUUGGGAAUGGAGUUUCUGUUGGCCUUCUUAGGAAAAGUUUGUUGGAAAAAAUGCCUUUUUGAUUUUAAAUAUUUUCACUUCAACGGUCCUCCUCGCUAGUUUUCCCAAUGUCCCCAAAUGUUCUGCAACUUGGUGGUGCUACAACAUAAUGAGCUUUCAUUUCUUGUUCAAUAGCCAACCUCGAAUUGGAUGAUGUAUAGCUUUUUGAUAAUUUGUAGGCAAGACGAAGGGAACUAGAAAAACUAUGAACUGAAAUAGAAUGAGCAAAAAAAUACCUUGUAGGUGCUUCUGUCUACAACUGAACCUUUUCUAAGAGCAGCAUGAAAAUCAAGAUGAAAAAUUUUAGUUGUAGCUUGAUGAGGAUGAUCCCAGAUGGAGGUAGUCUCUUGAAUGGAGGAUUGGGCUAAAGGAGAAGGAUCACCUCGUUAGUAGGUUGCUGUUUAGUUUUCCUACAGGAACAUACUAAAAGACAAAAAACACAAACUCCAAUGCACGUAUGUACCUGUAUGGUUUUAUCUAUUGAAACAACUGGAGGAAGAAUUUCAACAGAGCCAAAAAUAAAUUCAGGUUCCAGAAUGUGAAAAUAAGGAUAUGGACAUGUUAUAUCAGCACUAGCAUGAGUUUCCUGAGAAGUGGGAUUAAGAAACUUUAUCUUUUUGUGUCCUAGAAUAACCAAGAAAGAUACUGUUGAAUCUUUAAUGGCUUAACGAGUCAAUUCUUCAAGAACUUGAUGAACUGAACCAGAUUAAAGCUAAUCCGAACAGCGAACACAGAACCCAGAAUCAAGAACAAACAGAAUAACCUUGUUUCACACAGCCAAGAUUAGAAGGAAAAACCCACUUGUUUUAUUGAUCAAAACACUUAAGAUACAAAGUGGACCUACAGAAGAGAUUGCAAAGGUUACAAAGAAACAAAUCCUAUGCAAUUUGGUCAACAAAUGAAGAAGAUAACAAGUUCAUAUCAGGCGCUGUUCAUCAGCCCCAUUUAUUCUGAUAUUUCCGGGCAAGCAGAUUCAGCAUAAAAUAUUAAUAAGACCCCAUCAACUAAAGUCAACCUCACAAUGACCCCGUAAGUUCUUCAUGAUUUGCAUUUGAGUCCAAAAACUCAGGUGCUAACAUCUUCACAGAUACAUUUGGUUGACUUAGGGAAAGUCUAUAAGUUAUAACAUGGACAAGGCAAACGACCAAAUAUACAUUGUGAGAAAGAAAGUAGAGUUUUGUUGUGAAAUAAAAUAAAAUAUGCUGCUCCAAAGUUAAGUGAUGAUCGUAGUAGUCUUGUUUAUUAGUAGCAAGCAGUGAGAAGAGCUUCUCCAAAAUCUUCAUGGGACAAUUUUAUGGAGAAGAAUAGUUCUUGAUGUCUAACAAUGCCUAUAAUUUAUUUCAGCUACUCCAUUUUCCAAUGGAGUUGAGGACAGGAAUUUUGAAGUAUCAUAUUUUGAAGUUGGAACUGACAAUAUUCUAGGGCAAUUGAUUACAAAGAGUUUCAUCAGAAACAAUGGUGGAGUCUUUAUUUCAAUAAAAGUGUAGUUUUGUUUUGAUAAAUAUUUAUUAGUAAAAUAUGAAAUUGUCCCAUGAAGAUUAGUAAAAUAUUUAUUUGUAAAAUAACCAUGUAGUUUGUUAACGAUUAUCAAGACAAAAUAUUUAACCACAUGGAAGUUAUGAACUAUUCAGGGACCUAAGGACCGAGUGUCUGAAAAAAUUGUGAUGCACAGUAAUUCUAUUAACUCAUGAGGGACAUGAAGAUGUUUUCCUAGUUGACAAAACUAGAAUUGCCUAACCUAUUUCACCAAAUGAUGAAACAGUUGAGGGCGAGGAUGACCUAAUAGGUAAUGCCAUUGUUCUGAAGAAACCACUGAGAAAAGAAAAAGUGUGCUGGAUAAUAAACAUGGUGCAGAAAUCUGACAGAGUCCGUUUAUCUCAUUUCCUUCACCAGUUUGUCUUUCUUGUAUCAAGAUCUUGAAAAUCACCAUUAGAUGAUAAAAAAAGAAAAGGAUUGAAAAUUUCUUUAGCUGACUUAGUAACAGAGAAAUUGAAAAUUUAGGGACAGAGAACUGAGGAAACAGAAAUGAUAGAAUUGACAAAAAUUGUUCCUACUCCUGAACUGGGCACUUAUGGCCAUCUGCCAAGACUACUAAAGGUGCUUUGUUGGAAGGAAAAUAAAAACUAAAUUUGGAGUGGUAGCAGUCAUAUAAGAUGAAUUACCAGUGUCCAUUAUCCAAGGAAUAGGAUCGGAAGUUGCACUUGAAGUAUUGAUGAUUGGCUUCCUCAUAUGGGUUCACAUGAGUUUGUUAAAUAAAAGUAGAAGCAGGAGUUAUCAGUGCAGAGGGAUUUUCUCUUUUUCAAUGAGAAGUUGAAUUUUCAUUUUAUAUAAUAGUGGAUCUUAUCAUAGUCAACGUUGUAACUGAAACCCAGGUGCUACGACAAAUGAAAAAGGGAUGCAGUGAUACUAAAAUCCUGUCAAAAACCAACCACUAAAAGAUUGACAAUCUCUCAGCCUCAUCAUAAGUUUUACAUGUCAACAAAUCUAUGGUGCGUUUAUUUGCUGGAGUAGUAAUGGAGAGUGUAGAUUUUUCCUACUCUAGUGUUUACUUGCGCAUUUAAGAAGGAGAGUAGGAG